AGCCCCCUGUUGAGAAGCCACCUGUGUAUAAGCCACCGGUAGAAAAACCUCCAGUUUACAAACCACCGGUAGAGAAACCACCAGUGUACAAGCCACCAGUUGAGAAGCCCCCCGUCUACAAACCUCCUGUAGAGAAGCCUCCUGUUUACAAGCCACCAGUAGAGAAACCACCAGUGUACAAGCCACCAGUUGAAAAGCCUCCGGUCUACAAACCACCUGUAGAGAAGCCACCUGUUUACAAGCCACCUGUAGAGAAACCACCAGUGUACAAGCCACCAGUUGAGAAGCCUCCGGUCUACAAACCACCUGUAGAGAAGCCACCUGUUUAUAAGCCACCUGUAGAGAAACCACCAGUGUACAAGCCACCAGUUGAGAAGCCCCCGGUCUACAAACCCCCUGUAGAGAAGCCUCCUGUCUACAAGCCACCAGUAGAGAAACCGCCAGUGUACAAGCCACCAGUUGAGAAACCCCCGGUCUACAAACCCCCUGUUGAGAAGCCUCCUAUCUACAAGCCACCAGUAGAGAAACCACCAGUGUACAAGCCACCUGUUGAGAAGCCUCCAGUUUAUAAGCCACCAGUUGAGAAGCCACCUGUGUACAAGCCCCCAGUCGAGAAACCCCCGGUCUACAAACCUCCUGUAGAGAAGCCUCCAGUUUACAAGCCACCGGUGUACAAACCUCCAGUUUACAAGCCACCAGUAGAGAAGCCACCUGUGUACAAGCCUCCGGUCUACAAACCCCCAGUUGAGAAACCUCCAGUUUACAAGCCACCGGUUUACAAGCCUCCAGUCGAGAAGCCACCAGUUUACGGACCACCUCACCACCCAUAGUACCCUCCCGUAGUUGGCACUACUCGUUUUUAAAGCAUGCUUUUAAGUAAAUAAGAGAUAUAUAAACUUUCCAAAGCAAGGAUCAUAUAUUCUUGGAAAUCUUCAAUUCAAUCUUAUGUUUACAAAUGCUAUUGCCAAGACAAGAGUGUGAAAGAAAAUGGUGCCAUUUGUACUUCAAAUUAUGAAUAAGAACGUUAUGAUUUAGUACUUCUUAUUUUGUGUUUGUUGACUAAAUUUGACAGAGUAUACUUUACUUGUUCCCUAUCAUACCAGUAAGGUGCAUGAAAGUUCAGUCUUGAACGGUGGAAAUAAAUAAUAAUUAAUUAAUGUUUGAAUCUCGAAUUUACUAAAUUAACGAACUUGUAAUUUCAUUGGAAUAUACUUGACUCAGUGGUAGCUUUAGUUUCAACUUGGAAAAUGUCCGUGAUAUGACAAUUUUUCCAAAACAAGUUUAGGUUAAGAUUUUUAUUUUUUAUUUUUGACAUAAUAUACGUUAAGAUUCUUGUGUACUAAUAGAAACUGAAAAAUCAUUUUGGUGCUUAAAGUUUAAUGAGUUGGACAAAUUAUUCACUCAAAUAUGGAAAUGAUAAUGUAGUCUCUUCAAUUAUAGAAUGCCAUUUAAUUUAGUUACCUUUUCAAAAUUAGCAUCACAAUUCGCAAGGUUUUAUAUUUGUGUUGAUGCAUCAGUUAAGAUAAGGAUCACGAAAAUUAGGUUUUUGACUUGGUUUUGAUUAGGGGUGUUUGCGGUGCGUUUUGGUUCGGUUUUGAGCAUAAAAGUCAUCUAAACCUCAAGAUAAAAAAGCAUGCGGUUUGGUUUGAUUCAGUUGAUUUUUAUAUAGUCAUCCAAACAAAACCAAACCAAACCAAUGCGGUUUGGAUUGGUUCGGUUUGUACGGUUUAUCGCGAGAUGAAAAAAUAUUACAUUAACUCUAAUAUUGCCAACUUGUUACAAAAUAAACAUAGGACAUUUUAUUUUGUUGUUUAUAUGAUAAAAUAUUAGGUAAAACUUAUAUCAAAAUAGGUAAAAUUAAGAAGAAACAUAAGCAUGAAACAAAUUAUUGAGAAGUAAAAGAAACAAAUUCAUCACUGAAAAUGAAUUGAAAGAGAUGGAAAGGAAUUAGAAUCGAACCAGAUGGUGCAACAAUGGAAAAAUCUAAUCAAAUGAGAUUAUUCUUGAGCUAUGUAAUUGGGCUAGUACAUGUUUAAGUAAUAUUCAUUAUUCUUGCGGUUUGGUUUGGUACUUGAGAUGCAAACCGCAAACCAAACCGAACCGCGCGGUUCAGUGUAAAAGUCAUCCGAGUUCAUUCGAACCAAGUGCAGUUUUUUGCGGUUUCGGUUUGGAUUGGUUUGGUUUGCGGUUUUUCUAUUGGGUUCGUUCGGUUUUGAACACCCCUAGUUUUGAUCGAUGUUUCCUGAAGAUAUGUUUUGGUAAUUGAACUAAAUAAACUGUCUUACAUUCUUCAAUUAAUGAGAUUAAAUUUCCUUUUUACAAAUAUCAAUGAUUAAUGUCAAGGACUAAAAUGAUGAUUAGUGUCGCGCCAUUUUUCGGAGGUCAAGGCCAUUUGAUUAGCUUUUGACUCACUUUUUAUCUCACGACUGAACAAAAAAUUUUUUAAAGGGGAAAAAGUUUCAAACCACCCAUUUUGAAAAGAUUUAGGGUUCAUGGGUUGGUUAUAUUUAGGGAAGGUAUUAGCACCCUAAAUAUUCGUAGUACUCUAUGAGUACCUCUUGAUUUUAUUUAACUUUUUGUGCUUAAACUUGCUUGCUUUUGAAGAGAUGAAAAUAGAAUUGAAAGAUGAGUUGAAACGAAAAAGAAAAUUGAUUUUAAUUGAAAAGAAAAAAGAAAAUUGUUUUUUAGUUGAUUUGGAAGGACAAGGUCCUCUGCCUACGUACCCGUGAGGGAUCAAAACCUCGUAGUUCGGGGUAGAAAUUGACGUUUGAUUGGUUUUAUAUUUUUUAUUAGUUUUUGAAAAAAGGUUUGAAAUAAAAAGCCAAGUGGCAAAUGAGAAUUGAUUUGUGUUUUUUGGAUUGAAGGAAAUAGACUUGAAGUAGAAUUAAAAUUGAUUUGAGAUUUGAUUAAGAAAGAAAAUAGAAAUAGCGAUCACUUCAUUGAAAGUCAAGGUUUGUUAUAAAAAUAUUUUUUUGUGAUUUUUUGAUAUUUGGAUGUUUUUGCCGUUUUUGAAUAAUGAAUGAAAAUUAAACUAACAGAGCAAUGAAAAUAAAAGUGCGUGGGCGUGAAGAAAAGAUUUUGGUUUAUGUUAGUUCGACAAUAUAAAUAGUAUUUAAUAUAUGUUGUGUUCACUUUGGAUAUUAUCGGACAAAAUUUUGACAAUAAUAAAAAUAAUAAUAGUAAAAUAGAAUAAAAAAUAGAAAGACUAAAGUGAAUCAAAAUGAGAUAAAAAGAUAAAUAUUUAAAACGGAUUUAAAGUUAAUAAAAGAUGGAAACUAAAAUUAAAUGAAAUUUGAAAAUUGAGAGAAGAGGGUCCGACUUGGAACCAAAUAUGAGGUAUUUUAAAAUACCUUCCUAUCGAAAUUUUGUUCGAAAGGCUGAGACCGGUCGGAGUUAAAUGACACGUGUCAGUGCUGCCUUAGGUCAAAAAUUGGGGUAUGACAAUUAGCUCAAUAAUUAAUUAUUGUGAUUUCUUCAUUUUAUAUUUAUAUUUAAGAAUAAAAAAAAAAAAAUGACGAUAUCAACUUUGACACAUUACAUAUUCAAUCAAUGUUGACUUGACCAUCAAUGCUACAUAUCCGGAUGUAAGAGUAGUUCGACGAGUUUAUUUUUGUCACUUUUGUUGAUAUUUUGUUGGUUUAUGCUAUUAACUUGCAUCUAGUAAACUUGUUCAUAGCUUCAUCAUUUUCAGUUUUAGUGACAUGAUAUUUGUGUUGUAUUCAAUGUGAUUUACCGCGCGAUAUGAAUAAUAUAUAUUUUUAGUCAAAAUUAAUCAUGUCGGACCUGAGAUCUUUGGUUUGAUGGCGUUGAACGACCUUUGAGUAAGACAAUGUUAAACCAAAAUGAGUUUUAUACAAUGCCUCUGAAGUUUUGAUAAUAACAAAGUAUAAAAAGAACAAUUGAAUAUGCCAAUGUUGUUCAAGUAUGCUCGACCAUAUAUUAAAAUUCAAAGUAUUAAAUCAAGUUUUGAUUCUGAAAGAACAAGAUUAUGAACAUAUACAAGAGCAUCUGCAACUUAUGAGAAGCUGGAAAUUUGGAUCAGACUCUGAAUAAGUAAGACUGUGAAAGUCGGGAGUGUAACACCCUGAACCCCACAUACUAUUUUUAAAAGUAAUAAUUCAACAUUUAAAUAAACAUAUCAAGAUGUUACUCUUCAUUUUCAACACAUAACAAGUCUCCAUCUUAAAAUAUCAACUCACAGCGGAAAUAAGUCUCAACAACACAAAUGUCAUACAUCAUAUCUCAGAAUAAGUACAUCAUCAAAAUAAACUCAAGGUUCCUCAAACAUAAUAUGAUAACAUAAAUAAAAUCCCAACAUCCUAAUCAGAGAACCACUAGACAAGACUCCAAAAUCAAAGCGGUAAAAGAUGAGUAGGCUGCAAGCCGUCCUCGGAAACUCAUGGUAACUUUGCGUCCUCAACCUGCAAGUCUCCACCACAAGGGCGUAGGCGACCAUUUGCCAAACGUAGGGUAAGAUAUAAAUUUAACAUAGAGGAAAUAUGAACACAUAUAUAGUAUUAGGAUCGCAACAUCAUAUACAAGUAUUCAUCUUAAGCAAUACCAUAUUAACAUGCAUUCUCAUUGAUUGGUAAAAUAUACACAACAAAUCUCAAAUCAUCAUCACAAGAAUAUAAAAAAGUAAACACAUCAUUGAUUAAUCAUCCAAUGGAAUACAUAGGAUUCACACAUUAUCACUUUCAUUAAAUCACACAUUUUCCAUAAAAUACACAUAGUCAUGUAUGCAUCUUUCACAUAGAUUCACAUAGUCAAGUACUCAUCUUCUACAUAGACUCUCAUGUACGAAAUGUUCCUACUCGACUUUAUAUGCAUGUGGUACUGUUUUCGAUAUCAGAGGUAUUUUCUGAGUGAUUUCACCGUCACUUGGACUGACCAUGAAUGCAUGAACAUCUCAUCAUGACUCGACAAUGCAUAAUUCAUAUAACUCGACAAUUUACAUCAACAACAUCAUCACAUCGUAUAUUAAUUCAUCGUCGCUAUAUCAUCAUCAUCAUCAUCAUCAUCAUCAUCAUCAUUUUCAAUGUCAUUAUAUCAUCAUCAUCAUCAUCAUAUCAACAUCUAUAUAUAGUUCAAAUCAUCAUGUCAAACCAUAUCAAUAUGUAUCCACCUCGUCUCGCAAUCACAUUCACAGUCAUCAUCAUUAUAUAUUCAUAAGACAUUAUUCUACAUCAUCAAGUAUACUUCGUUAAUCAUCUAACAAGUUCACAGUCAUUUCAUGAUUCAAUUAUAAUUAAAUCACAAGUUUAUUUCUAACCAUUUCAAUUGCUAAGUUUACUUCCAUCAUAAGCUAGGUUAAUUACUCUUACACAUCAAAAUUAUACUUCUAUUAAUCAAGUUUAGAGGUUUGUGACAUAUUCACAUGCAUUGGAUACCUUAAAAUACCAAAAAUAUGAGUUUCCCACUAUAGGGAGGGUUGCACGGUAGUGCCAUCCAGGUGCACAGUCGUGCUCAUCAUGCAGGUAGGGAAAAGCUAUAAUUUUUGCGUUUUGCUCAGGAAGAACCCCUUUCAACACCAUUUUUCGAUCCAAUUCACACCAAACUAGACCCAAAUCAUAAAACUAAUGUUGUCUAAUCAAUUACACAUUAAUUUUACCUUAACUAACUUUAUUAUACUCAUUAUUAUCGUCAAUUAACAUGAACUUCAAUUGUUUUAAACUUAUCACUUCAAACCCAUUUUUAACAUGGUAAUUCAAACCCCAAACAUAGUAACAACCAAAUCAACAUCCCUUAUUCAAAAUGAACACAAAAAAAUUCAUCAAUUCACAUUAUAAACAUCAACUCAACAAUUAUCAACAAUUAUCAUGAAUUUCACCAAUUUCACAUAAAACUCAAAAACCCUAAUUCACCAUAAUCAAACAUUGAUUUUAACACAACUGUUAGGUUUGUAGUCUUGACAUGUUGGUGCGACAUCAUAGCGUGCCUUGUUCCGAUUUCUUGGAGAUUGUAUUUAAAUGUGAAAUCGCAGAAGAAAACUAAACGCAUCACAACUAAGAAAAGGUAGAAUAAAACCUUUCUACAAACAAAGCGCACAUCACUUGAAAGCAAAAUAAAUACGCAACUAAAUUUCAAAAAAGAUAUGCAUAAAUUAUCAUAGAAUAAGGCACCAAGUAACACGUUCUUACGUCUCAGAUUACCAAAUGGCUCUCCGAAAAAUAACCAGAGUAUGAUAAAAUUACAGAUUUCCCAAAACAAAAGGAACAUAAACUAAAAUACAAAGCACGAAAACAAAGAAGACACAACAACAUAACUCUUCAUCCACUAACUUUCCAUCAACCAAAAUCUUGGAGGGGUCCAGCUCGCUCACAUUAUCAUCAGGGUUAAAAUGCAGAACUUGCGCCCUAGUAUGCUCAAAGCCAUUGUCAAAAUAUAAGGCAAGAUCCCCCUUGCCAUCCUCAACGACGAAUUGAGCUUUGGCGAGAUCCCCUUACAACUAGACGACCUUCUUCUUCCAUGAAUCUCUCUCCAGCUCAACAACUUCUUUUUCAUCCUUCAUAUCUUUGGUCGUCUUCUCUGCAGUCUUCUUAUCCUCCAAGGCUUCCUUCAACCUACUUUCAAGACCCGUUGCUUUAUGCUUCCACUUCUCCACAUCUUCAUGAGCGUCUUUAUACUUUGCCUCUAAAGCACCAUGUUUCUUCUCCAUCACUUUUCCUAAUAAAAGGACCCGGAGCACUAAUAUUCUUGUAUCCAUUACUAGCUCGCCAAAUUUGCUUUUAACGCCAGCAUCAACGUCAACCUUAGACAGUGGCACUUUAUCCUCCAUGUAGCUACGAUAAACGCAUGACUUAAAAGUUGAAAACCCACUAACAUUACUAGAAUUUAAGUAAAAUCUCAUCAUCAAAUUAAACUCUCAUACCUACGAAAGUCGAAAUCUUUAUGCCAAAAAGAGUCAGCCACCUGAACAUUCAGAGAAAUGGUUCCCGCCACCCCGCUAGCAUAAUCAUCAUCCUUCCGACUGGCAACAAAUGUCCGCUUCGAGUCGCCCUUCCCAGUCCUCAUCUUCUUGCGUCUGGGCGAGUCAGUUUGCUCAGCCAGUACCCCAUUGCCUGCCGUCUCCAUGUUAUCAAUGUCCAUAUCCGAAUGUAACAUCCUAAAAUUUUAAGUCUAUAUUCAAAUGUAGUUAAAAAUAUAAAACAUAAUAGUGUAAUUAUUUUAAAAUACGCGAAGAUAAAAAUAAAGACAAAUAAAUAUGAUAUAAUUUCUUAUUAAUAAUUAAAUUUUAUUGGAUAAAAAGAAAAGGAGAAAGAAAGAAAAACAAAAAUAAAGGGAGUGCAAAUAACAAUUAUUUUUAGAAAAGAAAAAAAAAGUUAUAUACUUUCUCGAAUUUUUUUUCUGCCCUUGUUUAUGCAAAAAAAUACAAAAAUGCCCCACUUUUUCGAAAAAUUGCGUAAAUGCCCUACUUUUUCAGAAGCCCCUGGUACUACUCCACUUGGAGUUGCGGGGUACCCUAAAAAGUCACAAUUUUUUUGUCCUUAUUGUACGCCGCUACUUGGACUUGCGGGGUACUUUCCUACUUUUUUUUUUCCACUUUUUUUACUACCCCGCGAGUCUUAGCUUUUGCUUUUUUUUUUAAAAUUUUUUUUUUUUAAAUACCCCUCUACUUGGAGUAGAGUGGUAUAAUGAAGACAAAAAAAAUUCAACGUGUAAUAAUUACUCUCAAAUAAUAAAAAACUAAUUAAAAUUAUAUAACCAAUAAAAUACCAUCUACAAUGAUUAUAAAUGCCCGGCUGUCCCACACCUUCGUCUUCGACGAUCUCUUCCGCGAUUUACUUGAGGGUUAUGUUGGUCUUCGUCAUUUUUAUUUGUAGUUGAUUGUAUCUGACUACCAUAACCCAGUGACAACGACACAUCGUGUUCUCUUGUUGGCCAUCCCAUAUCCAGAAAUUGUUCAUUGGAGUUCAACGAAGUCGGAGAGAAGUGAGAUAAUAGGUUUGUUGGUGUUGGUGGGUGGUUGUAGUUUUGGUUGGUGUACAUUGGGUAUUGUGGGUUGUUGUAGGGGGGUAAUUGGUGUUGGACGGUCCAGCUUGGUUUGGGUCAUUAUAGGAGAAGUAGUUGUUGUUGGAUGUGUUAGCUUGGUUUGGUUCAUUGUAACCAUAAUUUGUCAUUGAAUUUUGUUGGUAAGUUGACUGAUAUUGGGGCUCAUAUGCAUUUCUCGGGGAGGUAUAUGGUGGUGGUUGGAUGAUAUUUUGUUGGGGGGUGUCGAGAAAUUCAUACAUUACAGAACCAUGAAUGUUUUGUGUUGUAUGUGGUUGGGAUUGAUGAUCUUGUAGUUGAGAAAAAAUGUCUUGAUCCCAAAAAUCAUCAUGAAUUGGUGUUUGGUUGUUGUGAAUUUCAGGUUCAUGUUCCGGCUCCGGCUCUUCUUGUUCGUCUGGAUCUGAAUCUGAUGGUUUUGUCUCAACUGAAAUCCUUAGACGUGGGUUGCAUGUGGUUGUCAACCACUCAAUAUACGCAUGAGUUGGGGUGAGUGAUCUUGGCCGCAUGUGAGGUAAAAUAUAACUCCGUCGGUUGUCCCAAUGUAAGCUCUCUUGUGGAAAGUGAAAACCAUUUGAUUGGUACCACAUCUUGAACCGUUUGUCCACUAUAUGGAAUUGUCGCAUGUCUCGUGGGGCCCCUGGUAUUUCCUGUGGCAAACCAAAUUCUAGCUUGACCCUAUCAGUUGGAUGCCAUUCAACUCUGUCAAAACAUAUAAGGUGAGUUGUUGCAGUCCACUCCCAAUAGUCUUCAGGAAAAUUGUGUGGAACAUUCUUGUAUGGUCUCCAUUUAAACUGGCAGAAGAGAGAAGUUGUAGUGUAAGGUUAACAAUUUUGAUAUAUAUAUAUAUAUAUAUAUAUAUAUAUAUAUAUAGUUCGAUAGGUGAAAUAUAUAUUCAUUAUUAAUUAAAUAACUCCUAAUUAAAUACUUGUAAAAAAACUCAUGAUUAAAUAAAUAAUUAAUUUAUAAUCGCGACAUUUUUUUAGUCCUAUAUUAAUUGCAUGUCCUACUUUUUUUUUUCUUACAAAAGAAAGUUAACAUAUAGCUUUUUAUUUCUUUACGACCAUGAAAGUGUUAAUAUGUAGCUUAAAUAACAAAAUAUCUUAAUUAUAUUUAAUUAGACCAUGAAAGUUAGUUUACCCUUGAAAUUACAUAAAAAAAAAAUUACCGUUCAAUAUAUAUAUAUAUAUAUAUAUAUAUAUAUAUAUAUAUAUAAACUCAUACAUUCAAAAAUCAAUUAUAAUAUUACUUGAUGUUCCAGUAUGUCAUCAAACUUUUUUCUGUAAGAUAUAGUGUCAUGGCUUGGAUUCUCGUAGUAUCUUGAACCUGCACCUGUCCAUCUAACAAAUGAUAUAAACAAAUUAGUAGCUAAUUUAUCAAAUAAUAAUAUUAAUAAGAAGCGAGAAUAUGCGAGGAAAUUAACAAAAAAAAUAAAUAAAUUAAUUGACCACGAUUACUUUAAUCCUAGCGGCUACUGGAGUGGGUUAUCAUUUCUCGGAGCGAUAUAACUCAACCGACAAUAUCCCCAAACUUGUAACAGAAAAUGACAUCCAGAUAGUGCUUUUAUAUUUGGGUGUGAUGCCUCACACAAGCCACGAUAAAGGUAAGCCAAAACUGCCGAUCCCCAACUAUAAUUUCUUGUUUCAUUAAAAUCCAUUAACAAAUACAACCAAGAGUUGUGCACAAAUAAUCCAGUUGUAUUAGGAAACAAGAACCCUCCAAAGAGGUAUAGUAGGUACCUCCUGUGUGUUGUAUUUUUACCUCCGGAGGAGAUUGUUCACUGAAGUUAUUAUCGACCAGAUUAUCCUUUAAUCACGACAACGAGAGAGUAAAACCAUCAGUUUUGUGUGCUGGAGGAGUUAUUCCCAACAAUUGAGCACAAUUAUUCCACAGAAGAUUUGGAGGAGCCGUAACAAUUGGUCCUCCAAAAGGUAAGCCGAGUAAAAUAUAUACGUCUUCAAACGUGAUUGUACAUUCACCCGUUCGAAAAUGAAAAGUAUGUGUUUCGGACCGCUAUCUUUCUACAAGAGUGGUUACGAUGUGCCUAUCAAUUUUGUAACGCCCUAUUUGAGAAACCUCAAAAAAUCCAGCUUGACGUAGAUAAUCUUCAAUAUAAGGACUUGGUAUGAUGUUUUGCCGUGUACGAGUGGUUAGAGGUGCACCCUCUGCAUCCUAACAAAAAAUAAUAAAGGAAUAAAAUUAAAACAUAAUCAAAAUAUAAAUUUAAAAAAACGUGAACAUAUUUAAAUUAAUAUUAAAAAAUAAAAAUGACAUUAACAAAUUAAUAUCUAUAUAUACCCAUCUUCUUAUAUGUUCUUCCAUGGAUCUAUGAUCAUUUUCCAACCACAAGUAUGCCAUUGCUUUAUAGAAUUUGAUUGAAAUAAUCUCUUAUGUGAGUGAGUAAGGAAAGGAUUGAGAUAAGUAGAAUAUGUGUAAAGAGUAAAAAUAUAGUUGUGGUAUUUAUAAUGUAAAACUAUGUGUAAAUGGUAGAAGUAGUAGUGUGGUAUUUUAAUCAAUGAAGUGAAGAGUUCCUGUGUUACUACUGCAACGCAUGCAAGCCAACAGUGUUCAAAUAAACAUAGAAAUGACAAUUGCAUCAAUAGCAGAAGCAUGGUGUUCAACAAUAUUGAAUUAAUUCGUAAACUUUGCCUCAUGAGAUGACCAUUGCAUGUAAAAAAUACAUUAAUUUCUUGCAAGAAAUUUUUGACUGAAAUGACCAAUGCAUGUUUUGAUCACGUGAAGCAUGCUAGCAAACAAAUGGCCGACAAGCUGCCUCUGAAUAACCAAUAGGAACGGCGCGUGCAAAUACUACCCCGCCACUCUGGGUUGCGUGGUACCCCCAGCUGGCGCAUGCUUUACAUACCCCGCCACUCCAGCUUGCGUGGUACCCCCCAGCUGGCGCGUGCUUUACCUACCCCGCUACUCUAGCUUGCGUGGUACCCUCUAGCCCGCUAGUCCAAACUGCGUUGUACCUUUUUUAAUUUUCCCGCUCGAAGGGCAGAUUAAAUUACAUGUUAGUAUAAAUAAAAGUGGUCUGCAUGAUAUCAUUGUAUCAAACCAUUCUACUUCAUACUCUUACUCAUUUCUUAAGAUCAAACCAAUUCAAUGGCACCAAAUAUAAACGUUUUUGUGUACUAUAAUGGAGAAGUUAAACAAAAUGAAUCCGGUAUUUUUUUUCAAAGUCAGUAUACCAAAGGUUUUAAAGUCAGCAUGGCUAGUACUUACUUGCAUCUCAAAAGAAGAAUUGCGGAAAAAGUAUGUCUCGAAGAUAAUAUGGUUGUGUCUGAAAUUAUGUGUCGGAAUCCUAUGUUUGUUGGAACUACCACAAUUCAUUACCAGGCGUUAAGAAUAACUGAUAACGACGAUGUCGAGUUUAUGUUUAACGUACAUAAAAGUCACAGUUCUUUGUCCUAUAUAGAGCUUUAUGUUACGUUUGAGAUGAAGAAUCCAACAUCUAAUUUUGAGUUAAAUUACCCAUCGAGUUCUAGUCAACACCAAAGUCUACCACAACACUACAAUCCGUCAUCGUCGCAAGAACACUACAACCCAUCAUCGUCCCAACCGCACUAUAACCCGUCUCCCAUUUAUGAUGCAUCCUUAUCGCAACCUUUUCAGUCAAAGUGGUCACAAAAUGUGUACGAACCAUCACAAAUAAUAACUCAACCUCAUCCCUCUCAAACACCAUCUCGUUCAACACAACCCAAAACCUUAAACGAUGAAAUCAAUAUAUUCACCUCCCAAUUUCAAGACCAACCAAAUGAUGAAGUUCAAGAUGAUGAAGACGAUGAUGAUGAAGAACUCCUUGCCGCACAAAACGGUGACGAGAACGAAGAAGACGAAGACGACGAUCUGCCACUACUACCAAUUUUACCAAUCAGAGCUUCUUACAACCCACCAAGGUCCAUGCGCAACGUCAAUGAUGACCACUCAACUGAACUUUAUCAUUCAAUGGCUCUUCCGGUCGAUCAAGGUAUUGCCCUAGGGAUGCAAUUUCAUAACAAGAAUGAUUGCAUUCUCGCAAUUAAAUUUUAUCACAUGAAAAAAUCAACGGAUUAUAUUGUGAAAAAAUCAGAUCCUGAAAGGUAUGUCAUCAAAUGUAAAGAUACAAAAUGUGGUUUCAAAUUGCGGGCCUCGUGGAGGAAAAAAACUGAUAAAUGGGAGAUUGGGAAAAUGAAUGAUCAUACAUGUGUCUCAACAGAAAUGACGCAAGAUCAUCAUAAACUUAGUUACAAUGUGAUAUGUGAAAGUGUUAAAUCACUACUACAUAUGGAUACUUCAAUUACAGUGAAGGUUAUAAUUGCACACAUCCGAGAGAAGUUUAAUUACACAGUUUCAUACAGAAAGGCAUGGAGAGCACGGAAUAAGGCGAUUAAAUCAAUUUAUAGUAAUUGGGAGGAGUCUUAUGAAGAACUACCACAAUGGUUGAUGGUCAUGGAAAAAGAUUUGCCAGGAACAAUAAUUGAUUUUCAAACGGACCCAUCAACAGAAGUGGCAAAUGAGACCGUCUUCAAGCGUCUUUUUUGGGCCUUUCGUCCGUGCAUCUCAGGUUUCGAAUUCUGCAAACCAAUUGUCCAAAUUGACGCAACUUGGUUGUAUGGUAAAUACAAGGGAACAUUGUUGUUAGCUGUUGCGCAAGAUGGGAACAACAAGAUAUUUCCCAUAGCUUUUGCAAUCGUGGAAGGCGAGACCAAGGAGGCAUGGAGUUUCUUUUUGAAAAAUUUAAGGCAGCAUGUCACCCCACAAGAGAACAUAUGCCUCAUUUCUGAUAGACAUGUGUCGAUAAAGAGCGCGUAUGAUGAUCCACAGAAUGGAUGGCACGAUGCUCCGACAAGCCAUGUUUAUUGUGUCCGACACAUUGCACAAAACUUUAUGAGAUCAUUCAAGGAUGGAGAACUAAAGAAGAAAGUUGAAUGCAUGGGUAAAAAUCAUAUCUCUUUCCACGUAAAUUCGACAUUUUAUUUGUUUAAAAUGACACAUCUAACUUUUUUCAAAACAAUGCAGGUUACGCCAUGAACAUCCCUACAUUCGAAUACUACCGUUCUGAAAUUGCUGUUGCAGACCGAAAGGCUUUAGCAUGGGUCGACAAUAUUCCCAAACAAAAGUGGACUCAAUCACAUGAUGAUGGUCGACGAUGGGGCCAUAUGACAAGUAACUUGGUAGAGUCACAAAACAACGUGUAUAAGGGUAUUCGAGGACUUCCGAUCACAGCUAUCGUGAAAGCAUCAUAUUACAGGUUGGCGGCCUUGUUUGCUAAAAGAGGACAUGAGGCAGCGGCAAGGGUAAAUUCUGGUGAGCCAUUCUCAGAAAACAGCAUGAAAUAUCUCAGGAAUGAGGUGAUUAAAUCCAACAGUCAUCAUGUCACACAGUUUGACCGGGAUCGGUAUACCUUUUCCGUCCGUGAAACCAUCGACCAUAAAGAAGGAUUGCCAAAGGGAGAAUACAAGGUGGACCUGCAAAAUAAAUGGUGUGACUGUGGACGAUUCAGAGCGUUACACCUACCAUGCUCACAUGUCAUUGCCGCAUGUUCUAGCUUUUCUCACGACUACAAGACUUUUGUCGAUAACAAAUUCACGAAUGAGUGUGUAUACGCCGUAUACAACAUCCACUUCGACGUGGUUCACCACCAGACAUAUUGGCCUAAUUAUGAAGGACUGAAGGUGGUUCCCAACAAGUCCAUGUGUAGGGUAAAGAAAGGUCGUCCACCAAUUACUCGCAUUAGGACCGAGAUGGACGAUGUGGAAACUGAGAGAAGAUGCGGCGUUUGUAGGAUGCCUGGUCAUUCCCGCAAAGAUUGCAUUAAUAUUAGACACCAGUAAAAAUCUAGUCUUUAUUUCGUUUGUAGGAUGUAUGGUCAUUUCCACAAAUAAUUGUAGAUUUUAUGGUAUUUUAUUGGUUAUAUAAUUUUAAUUAGUUUUUUAUUAUUUGAGAGUAAUUAUUACACGUUGAAUUUUUAUUUUUUUUUGUCUUCAUUAUACCACUAUACUCCAAGUAUUUAAAUUUUUUUUUAAAAAAAGCAAAAGCUAAAACGCAAGUCCAACUUGCGGGGUAGUAAAAAAAGUGGAAAAAAAAAAGGAAAGUACCCCGCAAGUCCAAGUAACGGGGUACAAUAAGGACAAAAAAUUUGUGACUUUUUAGGGUACCCCACAACUCCAAGUGGAGUGGUACCAGGGGCUUAUGAAAAAGUAGGGCAUUUGCGCAAUUUUUCGAAAAAGUGGGGCAUUUUUUUAUUAUCUUUGCAUAAACAAAGGCAGAAAAAAAAAAUUCUACUUUCUCCCCACGUUUUCUCAAAAUUUGUUUCUAAAAUAAUAAUAAAAAAAGAAAUAGUUAUUUCAGAAAGAGAAACCGUGUGAUAUUUUUUAAUUAGUGUACACCUACACUUCUCAUGUGCCUAUAAAUAAGAUGCUUAGUUGAACAUAAACUCACACUACAAAACUCUCCUCUCUCUAAAAAAUCAGGUUAGUUCUCUCUCUCUCUCUCUCUCUCUCUCCUUUUCUGAACUUUCUCUAUUCAAUCUAUAGUCAUUCUUUAUUCUUUUGAAAGAGACAAGAUUUACUACUAAAAUAACCUCAGAUUUGGUCCCCACAACCCUUCUUUUGGGAAGAACAACAACAUAGUAUACCCUUCUUUUGGGAAGAACAACAACAUAGUAUUAGAAUGUUCUUUUAUCAGAUGAGAAAGUGACAGUAGUUUAGUUCUUUUCAACCUAAUCAAACCAUGAAAAUAGUUUAGCUCUUUUCAACCAUUCUUUUUCAACAGAAACAUCAUUCAAUAAAAUAAAAUAAAGAGAUCUCAGAUCUGUUUUAGACUUUUAGUAGAAAAAAUUACACGAUUUAAUUAUUGUAUUUUUUAUACUGAUACAAACUAUGAAGAUUGAAACAAAGUUCAUAAGAAAGUUGAGAUCUUGUUUAAUUCAUAUUUUUAGUUUAAAGAAAAAUAAAGAAAUGAACAUUGUUUUAAGAAUGACGUAAUGACUAUUAAAUGGCUUUUAAACAUUCUGACUAUAUAAAAAGGUAGUAACAUAAGUUUCAUUUGAAAUAAAAUAAAAUCAAGCUAUUAUUAAAAUAUAUCUAAUAUAAUCUGAAGAAAAAAAAAGGACGUGAUACAGAGAAACAAAGGAAUUAGAAAACUUUAACUCGUUAUCUCUAUUAUUAUGACCUUGAUAAUGACUAUAGUCUAAUAGAUAGUUUAUUUUGGGUGAGUAUUCUAGGUGAUAUUGGAGCUGCUUUCGACGGAAACAAUAUUGCAACCACUUGCGAAGAAUCCGAAGGUAAGGGGAAUUACUACUAAUAAAUUUUAAAGAUUUUGCAUAAGUUAUGUGCUUAAGUGAUUAUAUGUGAGUAAAUAACUCUACUUGUGAGAGUUAAUUUCUCGAUGAUGUGGUAAUUUCUAGCGAUCAAGUACAUGUCAAAGGACAUCGACUUAUAUGUGUUUUAGUUAAUAUAAUUAGGAGUUUUUGAAAAUAUAAUACAUAAGUAGAAGAAAAAGUUUUGUAAAUGAUGAAUUGAUUAGAUAGUUAUAUUAUGUUUAUUUGGUAUUACUCUUGUGUAAGUGAAUGAGCAUAUGAAUUUCAAUAAGUGUUAACUGAUUUCGAUGAGUGAAAUUAGUUGGAAAUAUAUGAUUUAAAGUGUCAAUUAUGAUUCGACGCGAUAAUUUAUAAUGUUAAUCAUGAUUAAAAACUUCUCUAUAAAAAGAAAUGAUCUAAGAGAGAUAGUUGUAUCCCACCUCAUUAAUUUUAUGGUAUCAACUCAUAGGUAUGUUGUAAAGGAAAGAAACUUAAGAAUGCCAAACUAUGAUCACUAACUUAGUACGUAGACAUAGUAUAUAUAGUUAUAUUGUACGUGUAGGAAAUUCUUUAAAACAAAUGUAUAUGUGCUUUUUAACUAGGCAACAUGAAUUAUUCUUUGUUAAAAUCUCAUGAAUAAAAAGAACAUGUACUAGUUUAAUUGAAUUACCUAAGUUCUUACUUACUGCUGAAAUUUCUAUGCUUAUAAAUAAAUGAAAAAGAACAUAUGCUGGUCAUUAAUUGUUCAGUUAUUAUGUACUGGCUUGAUUUACUUGCUGGAAUUUCUAUGCUUAUACAUAAAUGAAGAGGGACAUAUGCUGGUUAUUAUUUGUUGAGUUAUUAUAUACUGGUUUGAUUUACAUCACUGUACUAAUUGAAUAAAAUUCUGAUGUGGCUAAUCAAUUUUAUAAACAUAAAUGGUUAAUUGUUUGACAUUGUUGAGUUGAAUAUGAGUGUUUUGUCUUGUCUAGAAAGUAGGGACAAUUAAGGAGCUAUAACAGGUCCCUAUACACUCAGGUGUAGAUGAGAAUGAGGAUAGUUAUGGUUUGGUUACUUUGAGGAUCUAUCGAGGGCACUUGUGUUUCGAACGCCUAUCAAUAGUUGGGGAUUGCUUCCCGGCUGAAAGUACUCGUACUACCAGACACGGUGAGCCUGAAAAAACUAGACUAUCUAUGAUAAGGUAGUGCGAUCGGACUAGAAUGAUUAGAGUUUAAGCAUAUCUUGCUCAAAAUACUAAUAAUCAUGAUAUAGUUGCCGAAACGGCCUUAUGCUCAUUAGAGUGGAACCUCCAUGGAGUAGUGAAUUAUGAGAAGAAAAUAAACUAGAGUCAAGAAAAAAAAAGUCAAAAGAGUUCAUGCAUGUGUCAUGUUGAAUGUCAAACUAUUAAUUCAAAUUGGACCUCUUAAAAGAUAGUUUUUUUUUUUUUUUUUUUAUAAUAUGCUUUGUGAUUGUUGUUGGACAGUGAAUGAAAAGAAAAUAUUAUAUCUAUGUAAAUAUCAUUUUACCUUGCUGUAUAUAUAUUAUUUUCUUUUUCCUUAUGUAAUAAAUCACGUGGAAAACUUGUGUACGAGUAAUUCACCCUUCUUUGUUUGUUUUUGUAUCUUGUUGUUUUUUUUGGGUAUGUUCGGACGUUUUUAUAGAUGAUGCCAGAAAGACAUUUAGCUCACUCGGGAACCCGCAUGAUCGAGUUCCUUGAGGUAUUUUCUUUUGCAACACUUAUUAAAGAAGAAAGUAAUAAUAAAUCAAAACACUCACACAAAGACGCCUCAAGACUAUUGGAAUCACCCUAUCGUAUCAAAAGCUCAUGAAUAUCCAUAAGUAAAAACUUCUCCAAAAAGAACACCAUACCCUACUCAUAGGGUGCCAUCUUAUUAAAAUCAUACCCCAUCACUGCAAUCGGAGCAAUGAUCCAACAUAAAGGAAACUUUGGUUUUCCUUCCACCAUCACCAACGAAGUUGAGCCCUCAGGCUCUCCUUGCACCCUAACAAACGAAUCACACCAAUCCUUCUUAAAGUUAGAAGCAUAAGGAGGGAAAAGUUUUUUACUAGGAUAGGCACUAAUUGAAACCCACAUUCCCUUGUUUACAUCUUUCGUCCUAUAAAAAUGGAAGAAGACGCCAACAGAAGGCUCCAAACUCAUCCUUACAAAGUAGUUUGAAUCCACGAAUAAACGCCUAGCUAUUAGGACGUAUUUGCGAAGGCGCCACAUUCAGAAACUUUAGCACAUCCAUCUCAAAAUCCGUAAAGGGUCGUCACCCCAAACUCUUCCAACACCGUCAUAUACAUAAGAAAGGAAUCAUCCCUGACACCCUCCAAACGCUGAUCGCACACUCUCUCGCCUACAUCACAGGGCGACACUGUCACAUCUUUCUCGUUCUCAGUAGCAGAAGUAUCCAUCUUGUUUCAGAAUAAAUUGAUAUCCGAAGGCGACAUAUAUGAAAACACCGCUCGAAGAACUUCUUCAGCUAAAUGAUUCAUCUCCAACUCAUAAGAAUACGUCAAACACAUAAUCUCUUUUUGAGUAGACGGAAGAGGCAUAUAAUGACAAAUCUCUUGACAAGUUUUCCCCCUACGACAAAUCACUAUCACUACCAUUAGAGCUAUCGCUACUAGUGUUGCUAUCAUUGGACAAUUCCCCUAAAACCCUACGAUAAAAAAGCCCUAAUUCGUAAGCUUCCCAAUCAAUCAAGUCAUUAGGAUGUGUUGCAUGUCUUAAAGAAUCUCUCCUCAGUUGGUCUCUCUCAUCAAAAUUCGUAGGAGAGAAGGCGAAAAAUGAGAGAAGGAAAAUGGAAGAGUACUUGAGAAGAUUGAAAACGUGAGCUUAGAAAUCCAGACAAUCAGCUGGCAAGUGCGCGAAUACGGAGAACUAAAAGGCGAAAAAUGCGGAAGUGAAAUGAGGAAAGGAAGGAAAUGAAGGGUCAAAGAGUUUUAGAGGACAACAACAAUUAAAACCCCCUCAAAAAACACGCUCAUCCUUGGCACGAUUGGAGACACGUGUCAAGAUACACCCAGAUUCGAACACGUCACUAUCAUCGAAAGGUCACACAUUUUGGACCAUACAAUCAUGUUAAAAAUGAAAGAUCUCGUCGAUAUAGAAUUUCAAAAAACUCGUUGCCAACUCCUCAAACAGGAAACUUACUCGCCGUGCUGUUACAAAUCACUUCGCCUUGUCCCAAGACUCGUGGUUGGGGGCUGUGAACAAACAUCAGGCAUAAAACGCAUGACUCGACUAGCACACACCCUAGGGGGCUCUAGGAUAAAGCAUAAUCACCCAAGGGGGACUCUGUAAGCUCCAACAACAACAUCCAAAGACAUACACAAAAAAUACUGAUAAACGUAAAAUAAAUUCCAAAUGCUAAUUAAUCAUUUCGCCUUGUCCCAAGACUCGUGCUUAGGAGGCUUUGGACCGUCAAUAUCUUCUUAAGGACCUAGAAGUCCUCCCAAAGGGCAUUUAGACCCUCCUAGAUGCCUAACACCCUUCAAAAGGGCUCUAAGGCCCAACACGCGCCCUUCCUAGGGAGCCGCCUCUACCAGCUUCUAAAACCUCCAAAGCUCGGCCUAAAUACCUAAUACGAUUACAAACCCUAAUACCUCAUUACGUAUAGCUUAAGAACCAUAAAUCAGGCCAAUAGAGGGCUAUAAAUACAACCUUUGAGAGCCUUCUGAAGGCAUGACCAAUACAUUACAAACCCUAAUACGAUUAUUGUACUUUUGCAAGUACAAUGAGGAAGGCGAUAUUGACAGGGAAAGUUUCCACCUAAUUUGGGCUAAAAACAUGGACUUUUGGGGGUAAAAAAGUCACAAAAAGUGACUUUUUUCGCAAGGAGCAGGGCGCCUAGCGCAUAAUGGCAUGCACCUAGCUCAUGUUCCUGCUAGGCUGAGGCGCCUAGUGCCCCUUUCAUGCGCCAGACGCUUCAGUUGUUUAGCUUAGGGGCACCUAUUGUGCACCUGGGUGCAUAAGUGCCUUUUCAGUGCCUUUUCAGUGCUGUUUUUCUUGUUUUCUUUGCCUUUUGAGGUGUUUUCUUCAAUGUAAGAUGUCUUGGAACUUGAGAACAAAAUUCCUUCCUUUGUAAAGACUUCUGAGGCAUCUUGAAUCUUCAUUAUUCAUCUUCCCAAGGUCCACAUAAAUCUUCAAAUGUCUUGCAUUGUCUGAUUUGCUUGAUUUCUUCGUGAAUUACUUCAACAACACCCUAAAAUUGCUAUUUUUCAGGAAGAAUAGAAUUACAAACUCAAUAUAAAAUACAUUACAAAUGUACCGAAAUCAUAGGCAAUUGAUCAAAUACUCUUCUUCUUUGCUGGUAAAACCUACUGAAAUUGACUGAAAAAUGUAACAGCCCUAUUUUCGUUAGAUUUAUUUUAAUUGUUUUAAUAUGUGUUUAUUUAUGCUUAUGUGUGAUUAUUAUCAUUGGGUGCAUUUUUAUGGGUUUUCGUGUUGGAAGGAUAAUUUAGUAAUUUCAUGUAAGGAUUAUUUUUAGUGUUUCAAGUGAGAACCAUUAUUUACUAAGUUACUAGUGUGGUAAUUAGUUGUGAGCCGGUAAGUGAUCGUUGUUAUUAUUUUACCGUUAAGGGAGUAGAAACAUUUUAGAAUUAGUGAAUUAGUGGGUUAAGCCCACUAAGGCAUUAGGGUUAAACCCAAUUGAGAAGAGCCUAUAUAAGUUCUAGAUUUUAGAGAAAAAUAGGUUUCCACUUCAUUUCAUAAGAAUUUUGAGAGAGGUAGAGAUAGAAAGUUCAAGAGAAGAGGAAAAUGGUUAGAAGGGAGAAAAGCUUGAAGACUCAAGAGGUGAUAGAGAUUCUAGGACCUAAAUUGAAGCUUUUGCUAGGAUUUUUGCUAAUUGAGGUAAGGGGGUUAGAUUUCAAUCAUAAUAACUUAGUUGUAGCUUUUACCCUAAUUUCAUGUAUAAAUGCUUAUUUGUAUAAAGUGAUUAUUAUGAAAUUAAUUGAUGAAAUUCGUGGUUAUGCUUUGAUGUGAUGUUUGGGUAUGUGAAAUUGAUGUUAAUUAAGUUGUUGAUGAAGAAUUUACAUGCUCAAGUUAUGUAUAUAUGUAUACUUGUGUUUUUGCUCAAAAUUGAUGAAGUAUAAUGUUAUUGUUGGUGAAUUGUUGAUGAAUUCACUUCUGAUUGUUGUUGUUGUGAUUGUGAGUAGUUGUUGUUGAUGAUUGAAACCUUGGGUAAUCUUAACCAUAGAGCUUGAAGUGAGUUUCUAUUGUUCUUGAAGUUUUCAUGAAAAAUAGGUCAAAUGGUAAUUUUGUUGAAAUUAUGUUGGAUUCAAGUUUUUAUAUGGAUUUGAGUGUCUUUUCAUGUUUAGACAAACUUUGGGAUCAAAUUUGGGUAUUGGGUCAAAAUUGGGAUUUUGGGGUGAAAAAUGAGUUUUUUUUUGUAGUAGAACUCCAGAAGCCUGUCACAACUCGCCAUGGCGAGCGGGAGGCGAGCAGGAGGUGCUUCCUGUGUGUUAACUCCCCAUGGCGAGUGAUUCACUCACAGGGCGAGCUGCACAGUGACAUCAUUCCCUGUUUCGCAAUCUUGCGUCUUUUUCACAUAUUUUUGUUUUGAAUUGGUCUUUGGUAUAAAUAUGAAAGUUUUAGAUAAUUGUGUUAGCUUUCCAGUGGCGUUGGUUUGACUUGAAAAUGAUUUUUGGUUUUUGAGUUAUGAUGAAAAUACUCCAAGGAGGUCUUAGUGAAAUUUUAUGAAAAUUCCGCAUAACUAUUUCUAAGUCAACCCAAAACUUAUGGAUUGUUUCCAAACUUCAAAACUUGUGUACUAUGAGUUAAAUUAAUGUGUUUAAGAGUAUUUAAGCUACGUUGUGGUGAAUUUAACUUGGUUUUGUUUUGAAAGUGAAUUGGUUUUACAUUAUGAGUAAAGCGAUACGAACUUUGCAAAACUUUGAAUUUAAGUGAGUUGGCCUAUGGGACCUUGAUGUAUACACUAUUGCACUCAUAUGUGAUUGGUGUAUAUACUUAGUUGAGGUUUCCAAAUGUGUUUACCUUGUUUUGUCGGAUAACUUGAAAAUUGGUAAAAUGAUACGAACUUGUCGUAACCUGUGAUUUUGAUGAUUUUGUCGUAGUAGGCCGGUGAAACGCACAUGUAUAUUCAACUACACUCAUAUGUGAUCUAAGUGUAUACAUAGUCGAGGCCCUAGAGUUUAUUUACUUGGUGUUAGUUCAUUUGUCUCAAUUAUUUUAAAGUUGUAAAAUGAGAGUUGAACUUUGUCAAAAAUGGUUCUUUAAAGCCAAUUACCUUAUAAAUCUUUUGUAGAUAACUUUAUAUGACUAAAUGAAGAUAUGUGAAUGAAUUUUUAAUUGUUGAAUAUGAUAUUAUCAUAAGGUGUUGCAUUUUCUCUUUACUUGGAAUAUGAUAAGUAUUUGGAAUGGUGGAACUAUACUAUAUGGUUGAUGUUGAUUAAUAUUUAUAUAUCAAUUGAUGUUGAUGAUUACUGAUAAUUAUGAUGAAAAUGUGAUGAUGACUCUUAAUUGGAUUAUGACUUUAUUGUUGUGUGGACGUAAAUAUUUGAUAAUGCAAUUGUUGUUGAUGUUAUCCUUUAUAUUGUUGUUGAAUAUUUAUGAGGUGAUUUUGCAUUGUCAAGUCUUUCCUUGUAUGUCCAUGCAUCAUAGUCAUGUUGAGUCUUGAUGUUGUAAAGGAGGGUUACUCUUUUACUUUGGUGAUAAUGUAAGACGGGUGUGAAAUUUUACAUAUGAUGUUUUUGUUGCAUCAUGUGUGACGACCUUGAGGUGAUUUGGUACCACAUGCAUAUAUGUGUCGGGAUUAGGCACAUAUCAUAUUGGCGUGAGUCUUAAUUGAUGUAUUUGAAUGAUGAUUGAUGAUGAUAAGUGUGUUUGAUGAAUACAUACUUGUGAUAUUUAGAAUUGUUGCAUGAAUGUGUAUAUGGAAGUUAAUUGCUCAUGAUUAAUUAAUUGAUACUUGAUUUGAUUCAUUUAUGUCUAACUAUUUAUGUGGAUUAUGAUUGUUGUAAAGCUUACCCCUAGUGGUUUUGACCACCUACCUGUCUAUAUGGAUGGGUAGACGAAGUGCAAGAUUAGUCGCUUUGGUGAGUUGCUUGGUGAUUGCUUAGAUAGAGGGAGUUAUCUCCGUUAUCGUUUCCUUAGAGUCUUAGGAUAGGCUCUGAUCUAGGAUGUAUGUCUUAUGAUUAUUCUAGAUUGUUUAUUUUGGAUUUAUUUGUGUUGUGGAGAUUUACCCAAUUGUCGGAAUUUGAAGAAUUUUUAUGUUGAUGUAUUUUGACCUCAUGGCAUGUAUACUUUUGAAGUGUAUGGUUUAUAUCCGCUGCAACGGUAUAGAAUUUUUAUAUAUGCUUGUUAUUUGAACAUUGUUGAUGAUGUGGCGUCUAUUUCUUGGAUAUUUAUAUUAUUCGCGUGUUUUAUUGCUUUAAUAGAAAUAGGGCGCUACAAAAAACAUGCUAAAAAUAACGUAAGAUGUCCUGUCAUCAUACAACGAUUGAGAAAAAGAUAAAGAUUGUCUAAUACCCAAGACUUCUUACAUAACUAUUUCAUCAAAGCAGAAUAGUUCAAAAACUGGAAGGUGUGGGUUUUCAUGACCUAGGAAUACAGGUAGCUCAAGUGAUGACAACAUAAUUUAUGGGAAAUAUGAGAAUCAUCAAGUCUGUGGUAAUGUCAAAUGGAUUCUCAAUCAGAAAAGAAUGCAGAACCUUUAUCCCAGACUUUCCCUCGAUCAUCCAAGAACCAAAUACCAAAGAUCUAGCAGACCUAGUGUCACAAGCUUCUGAAGAUCUAAUCUGACAUGGACCAUGCUCCUAGGGCAUGGACCAUGCACCUAGGGUAGGGUGCGUUUCACAGUCACAUGCGCCUAGGGCAUGGAGUGUGCUCCCUGAGAACUAAAAAAGUGUGGGGCAAAAUUGAUUUUUUUUCGACUUUUGUGUUGUUAUUUUAUGUUGUGAUUUUCUCAGAUUGGAGUGGAGGUAGGAUGUGAGAGUUCAACAGAUCACCAUUUGUAUGACUGAACAGACUAUUCAGAAAAUCUGAAUCAGUGUUUUGAUAAAUGGUUUAGCUAGAGGGUAAUGAUAUAGGUGGCGAAGGAAUAAUGAUGGAUGGUACUGAAGAAAUGUUAACAUAUUAUGUAAGCUCAAGAUCAAUACCUUUUGUAUUAUGAGAUUCUUCUGCUUUGCCUGGUGAGGUUGGCUCAACGGUAGCUGUUGUGAGGUUGGCUCAACGGUAGCUGCUUCUGUGACUAGCAUGCUGACUUCUUCUGCUUGCUUCUGUUGCUUCUCUUGGUUCUCACACUCAUCUACAUCGAUGAAUAUUAGAUGACACAAAUCUUCCUUAGCAUGUACAUUCUUCUUCCUUUCUGGUGAGGGAAUGAGUGAGUGAAUAGUACCAGAGUUCCUUGUGAGCUUGGAAAAAUCCGUUUUGUAGACAGAUCACAAAGUCACAUACUCUUAAUUUGUCUCUGAGUCGGUUUUGGAUUGCCUCGUCUUUUUGGGUGCUUGAGAAACUUUCUCAUCACCUUUCCUCUUAACCUCGACUUUCUUUAACUUCUUUGUUGGAGGAGAUGUUGUGACUUUGGAUGAUUUCCUCUUAUUCUUCUUGUUGUCUGCAGUUUCUGAGUCACCAGGAGUUUAAUCCGGAAAGAACUAAUCCGCAACUAAUUACUAAUAUUUUUCAUUGAAAAAAAAUAAUUUUAAAUAAGACUGGUACCUUGGUCUGUUGUAAAUUUGUAAGAACUAAUUUGACAGACAAUGAUAUAACUCAAAGACUAAUUUAUUUGUAAGUGCAAUAAUUUUGUUACUAAUUUUUGACCGUAAAUAACACACAAGUUAGCAGAAGGACCAAGUUGUUCAAUAUAAUUCAAAAUGUGAUUGUUUUUGCCAUGGCAUCCCCCAGUUUUUCUAUAAUUACACAAGAUUCCCUUUGUCUCGAUGGUUAGGAAGUACAAUUUUCUUUUGGAUGUCUCGUGUCUGAGUCCUAAUUCCCCUCAUUUUUAUAUUUCUAUUAUAUUAUAUUUUAAAUUUUAUUAAAAAAAUGUUCUUGAGGGGGAAUCGAACACGCACCACUACACUGAAUUCUAGCAAAAAACUGACCCCUAGACCGGUUACUGAUCUGAAGAAUAUUAUGAAACAACUAAACAUAUAUUCCAUAAAUUUUGGCACCCCCAAGAUAAAAACUCAAGAUCCGCCAUUGCCUAACUCAAGGUCCUAAAUACGCCACUACCAUUAACUAUAAUUAAUAAGAGUGUUUUAGAAAAUGAAACAUAUUUUGAACAUAUUUCUUAUCAUUUCUUUAACAAUUAUGUAAAACUCAAAAGGAACCCUUAAUUUGAGACAGAGGAUAUAUAAUAAUCGAUGAAGUUUAAUAUCUGCAAAAAAGUGUUAUUAAGUGAAGUAAACUUAACAAGGGUGACACUUGUUUUCUUUUGGUAAGGUGUGGGAGCACUCUUGACUGAGUUUCUAUUUUUUUUUUUUAUAUUCUUUUGAAAGUUGUAGUGGUGUAAUUGGGUGGUUAGUUGAAGUAAUUUUCGUUUUGGUUCUUGCUUGAUCUAUUUUGCAUUGUGAAAUUUCAAUUCUUAGUUUGCUUUCUACAUUGACGGAGUUGCUAAGUUGCAAUCAAACUUUUGAGUGUGUAUUAAUUAUAACAGUAAGAGUGUUGCUAGCACUACUCUUAUAUAAAAUCAGAUGUAUUUUUAAAUUUAUUUAUUUAUUUUUUUUUUUUUAAUUUCUACGAAAGUGGUGCACUUUUCCAUGAAUAUGCUUUUAGUGCAACUCCUUACCAAUGUAGUCAAACAAUUUCUUAAAACUCAUUGUUAUUAGUCAUUUCGAAACAAUGUAUUCACCAAGACAAAGGAGUGGGUGGAAGGAUAAUGGGUGCAUGCACAAUCAAGAAAAAGUUAGGUGAACAUUACAAUCAAAAUAUAUAGCAUAGAGCAUCAAAAUUUAUCGUAUGAAACAAUGUUUUUCUAAAAUAUGAAUGUGAACAAAUAACCCUUCAACUCAUAAGAUGAUCUUUAAUAUAUAGAAUUAGAAAGUUAGAGUAUCAGUACACCGAAAUUUAUAUAUUCAAAAGUGAGGCGUAGUUGGUUUUCCUCUUUAUGUAGUAUAGUUCGGUUUUUCCAUUUUAUUAUGGUACUUAUUCCUAUCAAAUUGAUAAAUCAGCUUUAUCUUAUAAUUGAUUUAACUAAUGAUGACUUGAACAUCAAUAUUAUAUAUUCGGAUAUACGAGUACUUCAUCGUGCUCUUAAUUUAGAGAUGUUUUGAGUUUGUUUACAAAUUGAAUCUUUGAAUUUUAGACAUAGAACUUGUACUCUUUUAGAUAUAAUAUACCGAUUUGAAUGGAUAAAUACCGUAAUUCCAAACAUAUAUUUUUUUUUCACACACAUACCUCAUCCAUUACGAAACGCAGGAACUAAAGCUAUAUAAUAUAGUGAAGCUAAUUUAAUAAAAAAUAUAUAUAUUUGGUGAUGCUAAACUCAGUCUAACUUAAUGCCAGUUCAAAAGGAACACUGUGGUAUGGAGGAAUUCUUUGUUUUGCAUUUAUAAAUGGCAACUAUACCCUAUUAAUCAUCAUCAUAAAAAUAAUUUUUAUAAUGUAUGAGACCAAGUUUCACGUCUCUAUUAUUUUUCAUCAUUUUUUAGAAUUGUACGAUCUUGUACCAGAUCUUCGUUUAGUUAUGAUGAUAGCAACCACUCUCACUGAAAAAUUAUAUAAUAACAUUUUUUUGGCAUAUUUAAUUACUGAUCCUGUCGGUGUAUUAUUGUAAAAUUAGGCAAUUUGUCCAAUCAAUUCACACAUAAUUUCAAACCUGGCAACUAUAUAAAAACAAAAUCAUAGGUAAAUAAUGUAGAAAAUCACCAACAACCCUUGAAUUUUGUUACAAGAAAGGGCCAAGUCAUCACCUUAUCAAGAUUGUGAGUGGAUUCACAAAGAUCACGACUAGUAUAAAAGGAGGAAGUCACUCUUGUGUUUUCUGCACCAAACUCAUAAGUCACUAACAUGGCUUCCUCAAACUUCCUAGUGCUGCUUCUUUUUGCUCUAUUUGCCAUUCCUCAGGGUCUUGCCAAUUAUGAGAAGCCUCCGGUUUACCAACCACCGGUGUAUAAGCCACCAGUUGAGAAACCCCCGGUCUACAAACCCCCUGUAGAAAAGCCACCAGUAUAUAAGCCACCAGUAGAGAAGCCUCCAGUUUACAAACCACCGGUGUACAAGCCACCUGUGUACAAACCCCCAGUAGUGAAACCCCCAGUCUACAAACCUCCUGUUUACAAGCCACCGGUGUACAAGCCACCAGUUUACAAACCACCAGUAGAGAAGCCCCCAGUUUACAAGCCACCUGUAUACAAACCCCCAGUAGUGAAACCCCCAGUCUACAAACCUCCUGUUUACAAGCCACCAGUUGAGAAGCCUCCAGUUUACAAGCCACCAGUAGUGAAGCCACCUGUUUACAAGCCCCCAGUCUACAAGCCACCAGUAGUGAAGCCACCUGUAUACAAGCCUCCAGUCUACAAGCCACCCGUUUACAAGCCUCCAGUUGAGAAGCCUCCGGUCUACAAGCCACCUGUUUACAAGCCCCCAGUUGAGAAACCUCCAGUCUACAAGCCACCGGUUUACAAGCCUCCAGUCGAGAAGCCACCAGUUUACGGACCUCCUCACCACCCAUAGGACUCUCGGAUGCUUUUAAGUAAAUAAGUUAAAUAAGAGAUAUAUAAUGUUUCCAAAGCAAGGAUUAUAUAUUCUUGGAAUCUUCAUUUUAGUCUUUUGUUUACAAAUCCUAUUACCAAGAUAAGAAUGUGAAAGAAAAUGGUGCAUUUGUACUCCAAGUUAUGAAUAAGAACGUUGUGAUUUAGCACUUUUUAAUUUGUGUUGGUUGACUAAAUUGGACAUAGUAUAUAUAUACUCUACUUAAUACUCUGUCAUAUCAGUAAGGUGCAUGAAAGUUCAAUUUUCUGUAGUAGACAUAACGAAUAAUUAAUUUAUGUUUGAAUCUAGAAUUUACUAAACUUCACGUACUUGGAAUUUCAUUGCAUUAUAGCUUGACUCAGUAGUAGCUUUAGUGAAAAAUGAUUUUGGUGCUUAAAAUUUUAAGAGUUGGAGUUUGGACAAAUUAUACACUCAUAUAAUUUAGUUAUCUUUUCAAAUUUACAAUUACAAUUUUCAAGGUUCUAUAUUUGUGUUGAUGCACCAAUUAAGAGAAUGAUCAAGAAAAUUAGGUUUUUAAUUGGUUUUUAUCGAUGAUUUCUGAAGAUAUAUUUCGGCAGAUGAACUAAUCCUUCAAUUUAAGAGAUUAAAUUGCCAUUUUACAAAUUUCAAUGAUUAUAUUAUUACCUAAUCUUAAAUAUAAUUUUUAGGGCUAAAACGAUGAUUCACUCAAUAUAUAUUGUGAUUUCUUAUUUUUUUUAUGAUAUAAAGAUAGCUGAAGUUGUGUGAUAUACAAAGUUAUAUUUCCUUUGGAAGAUAAGAGUCCCCCACCAUAUUGACAUGAAAGUGAACGUGGGAAAAUAUGUGCAAUUAAGGUUCCAAAUAUUAAACAAUAGCCACAAUAAUUGUCUAUAACUCAUAACAAAUAUAAGAACUUGAUAAGAAAAAUAAUAAAUAUAAGAACAUGAGCAGGCCAUAGUUUUUUAGCCCGAGAAGCUUCAUCUUCUUUUUAAGUCUAACAUUUUUUAAUCUUCAUUCAAAGAAGAUUGGUGAUUUUGGGAUAUUUUUAUAAGAUAGGUAAAUAAUGAAAUUUGUGUUGUACUCGAAGAAAUCUACCACACGAUUUGAAUGAAUAUAUUACUUUUAGUCAAAAUAAAUUAAAAUAAAGAAUGUAACAUUUCAAACUCACUCACAUAUAAAGAAUGAAUUUACAAUCUUUAAAACACAAAUAUUUAAUCCUUAAAUCUAACACCUCUCUUAGUUUUAGCGAAAUGAACUUUGUGUUGUACUCGAAGAAAUCUACCACACAAUUUGAAUGAAUAUAUUACUUUUAGUCAAAAUAAAUUAAAAUAAAGAAUGUAAAAUUUCAAACUCACAUAAAAAGAAUGAAUUUACAAUCUUUAAAACACAAAUAUUUAAUCCUUAAAACUAACACCUCUCUUACAUUUAUUUUGUUUACGUACCUUUAUUUUGUUUUCAAAUACUUAUAUUUAGUUGAAUUCCUUCAUUAUACUCUUUUUAAUGAAUUUUCUGAACAAAAUAAAAUUGUGUUACUCAGUCACUCAAAUUAGAGUGGAUAGAGCAAUGAAAAUAUUUAUUACUAUGUAGUUUAUAGUUGGAGUGAUCGGAUAGUCUAGUGGGAUCUUAGCCACUCUCGUUUGACUCACUUGGAGCAUGUCAAAAAUAUUUUUUUGAAAAUGAACGAUGGAGAUUUACUUUGCACUAGGUCCAGUGAAAAAGAUAUGGGAGAUAAUCCCAAUCUUAGCUUAUUGGGUAGGCCAGUGUUGAGAAUGGAUUCUCUCAAAUGUAAUUAUCUCACUAGUCUAAUUACCAACACAAUCAAAGAGAAAAAAUAGUGGGAUGUAAGUAAAAAAUCCAUAUUCUACUUACUCAAUCAUCUAUACAAGCUACUUUAAUUAUCUAGUCGAACGUUACGAGCGUUACAAGAGAAAUCAGAAUAUCGAUGAUCAAAAUCCUUCAAAGCAAAAGAUGUUGUUGUGUGCAAGUGUGAGUUAUAUGCCCCACAUCGGAUAAAAGAGUAAAGGUUGAACACCUUAUAAGUAAGAGGACCAUAAACCCAAAGCCUUAAGGUUUUGGGUAAGAGUGUGGUGUCUCCCUUGCUUGUCUGGUUGUUCUAGCCUCGAUGUGGACGCUCCCCCAAGCUCCCCUCGCUGACCCAACAGUGGUAUCAGAACCCCGGUUCGAUGAAGGGUACGACUGAGGCCGCCUGUCAGUUGUGCAGAAAGCAGCAACGACGGUACAAGCAACAAGUGGCUUCUUGUGCAGCAACGGCUAUACAUGCAAAGUAAAAAGCUUCCACGCGGUACAAGCAACAAGUGGCUUCUUGUGCAGCAAUGGCUAUACAUGCAAAGUAAAAAGCUUCCACUCUAGGGGAGCGACUCACGCUUGAGGGGGAGUGCUGUUGUGUGCAAGUGUCUGUUAUAUGUCUCAAAUCGGAUAAAAGAGUAAAGGUUGAACAUCUUAUAAGUUAGAGGACCCAUAAACCCAUAGCCUUAAUACUGUCCUUUUUGCAUAUUUAGCCCCCCCGAAACCAAUUUUAACCAAUUCAACGAUGACGUGGAUGUCACGUGUGUAAUGCUUUAAUUAUUUUAGUUUUAGAUAGAUACAGAGAGAGAGGUGUCAUAUGUCAAAAAAAAAAAAAGAUAGAAAAGAUUUCCUUCCUUGAAUCGUUGAGGUAACUACAAACUAAGACAAUGAUGUUAUUGGUUACUUGUUUCUAAUACCUUUGAAAAAGAUAGUUAGACCAAUGUAUUGGUCAUUAACUCUUUUCAAUGGUUACUACCCUAGUGUCUAAGGUGAGUCAUAACAACGUCAAAGUAAGUACAAUUAUUAUUAAUUUAUGUCUACACCUAAUCAAUAAUUGAAGGUUAAGAUAGGUCAAGCCAACAAAGUUAAGGUUAAGAUAAUCAUUUUCACCUAAAUUGAUUUAUGAACAUAUGUUAAUGAUGACAGUCCGUCAUAUCACAUUUUUAGAGUCUUUUCAAUUAAGUUUUUAUUCUAAUUUUAUUAAUUUAGUACUUAAUUUAGAGUCAUUUUAAAUAAAUUGUCAUUUUCUUAUUAUUGAGUCAACUAGUGUAUUAUUACUAUUAUUAUUGGUCAAUUAGUGGCUAGUAAAGAGAAUGAAACAAAAACAUGGUUUUGUGAUGGAUGUGAUUGGCCAAGAAAAAUGAUAACAAGUUGAACGAAAGAAAAGAAGACCACACAAUGUUGCAUUAGGGUGCAGGAAUCAAAACCAAUAUAAUUGGGCUUUCUUUCAUGGACGUUGAACCAAGAAAAAGAAAAGAAAAGAUAACUUGCUGCAUAAUGUUAAUUUGGAAAGAAAAAUAGGUUUGACAAGCUAUAAAAGGAGACCACGCACAGGAACAAAGCAGACGAUUGGGAAAGAAAGAGCAGCACGCGGUACGAGACAAAAGGAGGAGGAGAAAAGCUCAUGGAAUUUGGAAUAUGCAACAGUACUGAUUAAAUAGAACAAAGCCGGUAGACCAUAAUUCGAUCGGUUUAUUUCUUUUAGUAUGUUGUUUAUUCCUUUAAUAUGUCUAGUUAAUUCCAUUUGAUUGAGUCACGAUGAACCUAUUGUAAUAUAUGAAUCAGUAGUUAAAACUCUUUUUAUUAUCAAUAUUAUUCAGUCUUUAUUCAGAAUUAUCUGUGUUCAUUGCCUUUCAUAUGAUUGUUUGCAUUGUUUGCAUUGUUUGCAUGACUAUUAACCCUAACUUCUUACAAUCACAUAAAUUGAUCUUAGGAAUUGAAUGACUACUAACCCUAACUUUUAAUCCUGAAAUAAUAAUUCUGUUUAAUUCAACAUAGGAACCUAGAGAUAGGAAAUUGAGGAUUAUGACAUAUAACGUUCUAACAUCGCUUCCGCGGUUAUUCAACCAGUUUAAAAGAUUAAAAGGUUAUAACUUAGGAAAUGGUUUUGAGUCAAGAGAUUGAUCAAAACUAAUUAGUUAAUUUGUCGUAAAGAUUGAAUAAGUGUUGAGAGCAAAGAGAGAUAAACUAUUUCACAUAAAACAAUAGAGGAUUUACCGGCUGAUCAUCUGUUUUAAUCCAAUUAUCAAACCAUUUUAUUUUAUGUUAUUUACUUUUUAUUGCACACAAACGUACUGCCUCAUACACUUAUAAAAUUUACACAUCCUAGAUAUUAACUUUAUUGCUAGUUUGAGAUUAACACAGUCCUCGUGGAUACGAACUUAUUUUAUUACUUCGAUAGUUUUAGUACACUUGCUAAAAUAUUUAUGAGUUAACCAAUAAAGAGUAUCAAGAACAACUUUAACCGAAUAAAAUAGAAAAGUAAUUAAAUGAAAUUUAUAGAAUUAUUCAAAGUUACAUAAUCAAACAAUUACGAGGAAGUUCUUAUUUCAUGACCUAACAUAUAUAGUAUUAGCUACUCAUAGAUUUUCUAAACAUAUAUAAAUAGAUAUGAAGAAGAAAGCAUGAGAAAAGGAUCAGCAAGUGAGGAUUAAUUGGCUCCCUAAUGGCCGUGGUCACUCCAAUCCUUCCAAAAUUGUGUUUCUGCCUUCGUCUUCUCGCUAAAAAGUAUUUUCCACUAACUUAGGUUUCAAUAUUUAUAGGUGUGCAUUUCCUUAAGUUUUUGGGAAAUUGGCACACGAUGCGAUCCUAUUCCUCAUGAUGCGAGGAUAACAUAACUAAUCUUGUUGGCCUCACGUUUAUUGUCCCGAUGCAAAGCUCAUGAAGAUUGAUACGAUUCAAGGAAAUGUGAUUUGAUUUAACCAAGCAAAAACCAAGAUCAUAGGAUAACAAUGAUACGAUUCAAAGAAGUGUUAACUUGAUUCACAGUAAUACAAUUCAAAGAAUCAUGAAUCGUUUAAAAAUUUAUGGAAAAUUAGCAGAAACUUUUCAUGAUAAGAUUCAAAAAAGUUUGAAUUGAAUCAAUUGGUUAGAAAAACAUUUUGACCAAGAAAAAUGAAGUUUUCUUUAUACAAACAAAACACAAGACAACAAGGGAUCAUAUGAUUUAUGAGGCAAGAUUUCUAGGUAUGCUUUAACAUGAUAUUAGUCAAUAACAACUAAUAUCUAAACAUCAUCAAAUAAAAACUACCUAAUGAACAUCAUAAAAACACAAACCUAUAACUACACAACUUCAUCCAACUUAUUGGGUGUACCGCAUUAACUAGAUAAUGGUCAUAUCUAUACUAUAUAUAAAGAAAAUAACAUGUUUUUCAAGGUGAGAAAAACACGAGAGGGGGGGGGGGGGGGGGUUGAAUUGUGGUUUCUUUCUCUUCUCCUAAAACCGAAUUCACUAUUCAGAACUUGAUAGAGUUCAGCUUCUGAAGUAGUGUUCAGAGUCUAGUUGCAGCGGAUAAGAAAAGAGAGAGAGAGAGAGAGGCAAGACACAAAGCAACUAUACAGAUUCCUUCCACAAACCGGAACUAGUCAUGUCCCCCUUGCACCUCCAAGAAGAGUUCACUAAAAUCAAUAUUCGAUUACAAUUGCUCAGGGCUCAAAAUAGCAAGAGACUUCAAACUACUCAAGAACAACUACAAGAGAUUUCCUAUGCUCAAGAACAAAAUCAAGAGACUUCCUAUGCUCAAGCACAACUGCAAGAGACUUCAUACAAAUCAGAUAAGACUCUUAAGAUUCUAGAAUUUCUAAAAUAUGAAAGUUGAUAAGAAAUUCUAAGUGAACUUUGAUGUGAAACAUUUUUAGCAGAGUUUUGGCACUUGUAAAAUUGUUGUAAGUCUCUUAGAAAUCUUCAAGUCUUCACUCCUUUAUAUAGAGGUGUGAAAGAGACGUUGUUGAUUUCCAACACAUUAAAAGAGUCGUUAUUGAAGCUUGAUCAAAUUUCAAUUCCAUUCCAAGUAUAGAGGAAUACCAGCGUAGUCACAAUUGUUGUUCUUGUACUAUUGCAGACAGAAAACAGAGUAGUGGAGAAGGUGGUUGUACAAUUGUACUAUUGUCCUUUUCCAAUGUUCUUCAAGGGAUAAGCAUCCAAUGACUUCAAAUUCCUCUUAAUUAGUUGUUGCUCUAGACUUCUAUUCCUUCUGCAAUGAUAGGCAUGAUAAUAACAACUCUUGACAAAUAUUGAAGCUUCCAGUCUUUCAGCUUAUGAUCUUAAACUUCUAACGACGUCAGCUUCUGGUAGUCUCCAGCUUAUGAUAAAAGUGCUUCUGAUGAUGUCAUCUUCAGAACCUCUUUGUCUUCAAAACCUCUUUUCCUUCAGAUGGUUCCUUGCAACUCAAGCUUCCUUUUUUUAAAUUCCAUUGCUCUCAUUUGUUCUUCUAGAACCCAUGCUUCAUUUAAAGACACUCAAAUUUUUGUAUAUGGUCCUGCACACUUGAACAAAUAUUAUCAUAUCCAAUUGAAUUUUUUUAAUACCUUGUUAUCAUCAAAACUUAAAGGGUAAUGUUAAACACAUUUUGUUCCAACAUUUUUGACUCUUUUAGAAUGACUUUUUCUCUUUCCAAAAUUACCAUCAACUUUCAAUACAAAUAACACAUACAACAAGAAUUGUGUUAUUUGAACAUCCAUAUAUGCGACAACUUUUGUGACAACCAAAAUUUUACAAAGAAAAUGAAGUAGUGGCACAAAAACCAAAGCAAUAGAGAGAGAAAGUAAAAAGAUAAUGUGAGUAUGAGAGAGAAAGUUGUCACAAAAGUUGUAAAAAAUAGUUGUUCAAAUAUCAUUUCUCCAUACAACAAAUAGAUGAGAGUAAAUUCAAACAUUAAAAUAAAAUUGUAAUACACACGAUAUGAGUAUAUAUGUCCAGUUUUUUCCUUUAUCAUUUAAAAAAUGUAACAAACAAGAUGAGAAUAUCAGAGAGAUGAGAGAUAGUGACGUGAGACAAGAAAGACCUCUCCGUGGCCCGCCUUUGCUUGAACGGUGGUAACCGCACCAGAAUUUAUCUCCAUUUGAGAGAUACACUAGGGGGUAGGUAUGCAGCCUGGGUGGUAGAAAAUGGGGGGGGGGGGGGGGGGGGUAUGGGUGAUUGGUCUGUAGUUAGGUCACGAAAGAGGAAAGCGACGCAAUCGGAAGAUCGAGGAAGGGACAAGUCAAGGGUUUCAGAGCGACGCGGAGGCACGGUAAGGGUUAGAGGGAUCGCACAUAAUGAUUACGGGUUUGAUGGCAGAGAGGCGCGACAAUCAGCAAGGGCUCUUCAUGAUCAGCAAGGUUUGGGUCGUUAUCAGUUUGGAAACAACGAUUUGGCUUUCGACAGAUGCGGGUCUGAUGCUAUCAUGGGAAAAGGCUUCUUCGACGACAAACAUAACAAUGGUAGUAAAAUUACUUUCUAUUUUGCAAACAUUCCUGAUUAUAUGCCGUUGUUUCGUCUCCGUCAAUACUUUGAAGUGUGUGGUAUUUUGUCUGAUGUCUAUGUUGCCAGACAACUAAAUUCACGUGGUCAGGUCUAUGGCUUCGUUAGAUUUUUGAAUGUGAGGAACAAGGACAAAUUAGCACAAGAUUUGAAUAAUGUAUGGAUUGGUGACUUUAAGGUCUGGGCGCGUGAAGCAAAAUUUGAUAGGUUUGCACAAUAUGAUGAUGAUCAUAGGGUGUCUAUGCAUGGUGAUAGAAGGGAUGAGAAUGGAGGGGAGAGGAGGCCGGUGGUGAGAACUAAUGGUGAUGGAGUAAAAAAUAUGAGGAUGUGUAAUUUUAAAAAAAUAGGAGGGAUAAUAAAAAUAGUUGUUGGUCUCAUUUUAAAAAAAAAUAAAAAAAUUGUUUAUAUAUUUUUGUUAUAUUAUCGGUGUCAAUGAAAUGGAUAAUCAUGGUUAAUUUGAUUUGUUAUAAUUUGAAAGCAACACACAUUUAUAUCUUUAAUUUUAAUCAAAAUCAAAAUGUUAUAAAAAAUACUAUUGCUAAUUUUCAAAUGUUAACACAAUAAAAAGAGCAGAAAGACGGAGUGCCCGUCUUUUCACUAGUUAUAAUAAAAGAAAUUUUAUUUGAUGUAUUGAUAAUGAUACUGAAACUUUUUACACAUACAUCCAAACAUUAUUCAUGACAUCACUUUUAUACAAGUUCUAAAAUAUCGCUGUAACAAAAAGGUUAAAAAACAACUCAUGAAAUAUGUACAUGAUUUAAUUGAAUAUAUGUGUAAAAGAAAUUAUAUAUCAACAUCUAUAAAUUAAAUUUAUUAUUGAAAUGAAAUACUAGUAAAAAUGAUGGCCAGCAUUUAUGAAAAUAAAGGUCUAACUGAUCAUGGGCCAAUUUAAAUCAAAAGUAGAUUUGUGCCCUCUAAAGGGUACUAGAAUAUAAAAGAUGGACGGCAAACAAGGGACACAAAGAAUAGAGAUGCUCAAUUUAAAACACAACUUCGAUUUUUUUUUUAUUUACUAAAAAAUAACUUAGAUUGUUUAGAGAAGAUAGGAAUUCAAUUAGUCUGACAACAUAUUUUGGAAGUACAAUUAGUUUCACAAUUAACUAUUUUGAUAAUCCUCCUUAUUAAAAAAAAAUUAAUAUUCCAUUUCGUCAAAUAAAACAAAAAGUUAGGGAGUGAUGAGAGAUCUUAGUCAAUAUUGUUUUGCACCAUAAUAUUUUUGAGAGAUUGAUUUGGCAUUUACAUGCUUCCAACAAAUACAAUGUAACAAGUGCUUAUAAUUAUAUGAUAUCGUCUCUUAAUAUUGUGACAGCUGAUCACUUAAACACAAUUUGGAACAACGAGGUCCCUCUGAAAGUUAGUCAUUUUACAUGGAGUUUGCUCUGUAGCCGAUUACCAACAACAAAUAAUUUUAUCAGAAGGCACAUUCUUAAUCAUAAUGUUCAACUUUGUGUAGGCUUUUGUGGUAUAAUGUAAGAUAUAGACGAUCUAUUUCUCUCUUGUGAUUUUUUUGAAAUUUUUUAGAUUGGUAUCUAUAAUUGGCUCGGCUUUACUAUGGUACAUCCAGAACAUCCGAAUAACUUUUCAACUCAUAUGGUUAACUUGUGUUUGGGUGAUUUGAUGGGAAAGAAAUGCUUGAAGUUUUCGCAAUCAAGAAGAAUCGUUACAACAUCUUCUUGACAAAAUUAAGCUUCAAUCCUAUUAGUGGUUGAAAGCGAAUAGAAUUUUCGCUCAAUUUUAAUAAAGUGGAUACUAUAUGAGAUUUUCGCUCAAUUUUUUAUGAGUAUGGACUGCACUUGGCGUUAGUCAUUGAACUCAUUUUACGAGACUCAAGUUCCAACUUAAGCCAAAAACUGAAACCAAACAAAUGAAGUAAAAAACUCAAGUUCCAAACUAAUGCGUGAUUUUAGUCAAAACAAUGUUUAUUUUUUGACAGUAGUUAGUUUUGGAUUACAGCUAUAUCCCUACACCCCACAAACUAUACCCCUCUCACCAAUAGACAAAACAAAAGAGUAGGUGGAAGGGUACAUAAUUAAGAAAAAGUUAUGUGAAAAACAAUAUUUUCUAUAGCCAAAACCAAAAGAUAUAUAUUGCAUUAUUGCAUAUAUACCAAUAAAAGAAGUACUGUGAAAUACAAGAUAAUGGCAUUAGAUUAGAAAUGGCCAAUUUGAUCUGUCUAUUUUUAAUCAUAUUAUUUAGAUUUGUUCAAUCUUUUACCAAAUCUUAUUUAGUUAUGCAAAAAGCAACACCUCUCGUUGAAAGAUAAUAAUAACGAUUUUUGGCAUAUGUUACUAAUAUUGAUUGAAAAAUGUUACCAAAUGAUGCAACUUCCCAACUCCAAUCCACUCAUAAUUUCAAACUUCGCUACCAUAUGAAAACAAAAUCACAGGUAGAAAUGUGUUGGAAAUCCUCAACAACUAUUGACUUUUGGUACAAAAGAGUGCCAAGUCAUUACUAAUUCAAGAUUGAGACAUGCAGCUGUGAGUGGAUUCACUAAGAUCACGACUAGUAUAAAAGGAGCUGGUCACACUUGUAUUUUAUGCACCAAAUUAUAAGUCACUAACAUGGCUUCCUCAAACUUUCUAAUGAUGCUCCUCUUUGCUCUCUUUGUCAUCCCUAAGGGGUUUGCCAACUACGAGAAACCUCCAGAGUAUCAUCCACCAGUUGAAAAUCCCCCAUUUUAUAAACCACCGGUAGAGAAACCACCUGUGUAUAAACCACCAAUAGAGCAACCUCCAAUUUAUAAGCCACCUGUAGAAAAUCCUCCAAUUUAUAAACCACCAGUAGAGAAACCACCCGUGUAUAAACCACCGUUUGAGAAACCUCCAAUCUACCAUCCACCAGUAGAGAUACCACCAGUGUACAACCCACCAGUUGAACAUCCUCCAAUUUACAAGCCUCCUGUAUACAAACCACCAGUAGAGCAACCUCCCGUCUAUAAGCCACCAGUAGAGAAGCCUCCAAUUUACAAGCCACCAGUAGAGAAACCUCCUGUUUACCAACCUCCUGUUUACAAGCCCCCAGUUGAGAAACCUCCAGUGUACAAGCCACCUGUAGAAAAGCCACCAGUGUACAAGCCACCUGUAGAAAAGCCACCAGUGUACAAGCCACCUGUAGAAAAGCCUCCUAUAUACAAACCACCAGUAGAGAAACCACCAGUGUACAAACCACCCGUUGAGAAACCCCCGGUUUAUAAGCCACCAGUAGAGAAACCACCUGUGUACAAGCCACCAGUUGAGAAGCCCCCAAUUUACAAGCCACCAGUAGAGAAACCACCUGUAUACAAGCCACCAGUUGAGAAGCCUCCAGCUUACAAGCCACCAGUUGAGAAGCCACCUGUAGAGAAACCACCAGUGUACAAGCCACCGGUUGAGAAGCCCCCAAUUUACAAACCACCAGUUGAGAAGCCUCCAGUGUACAAGCCACCGGUUGAGAAACCACCUGUCUACAAGCCACCUGUAGAAAAUCCACCUGUUUACAAGCCACCAUUUGAGAAACCUCCAAUUUAUAAACCGCCAAUAGAGUAUCCACCCGUGUACAAGCCCCCUUUUGAGAAACCCCCCAUCUACAAGCCACCUGUAGAGAAACCUCCUUUUUACAAGCCUCCGUUUGAGAAUCCACCAUUUUAUAUACCUCCAGUUGAGGAGCCUCCUGUUUACAAGCCUCCAUUCGAGAAGCCACCAAUUUACACUCCUCCAUUCUAGAGCCCACCUUACCACCCAAAGUUCCCUCGGGCAGGCGAUGGUACUCGUUAAUAGAACAUGCUAUGAAGAAAAUAUGUUAAAUAAGAGAUAUAUAGAGUUUUUUAUUUAAUCAAGGAAUAUAUAUAUUCAUGUAAUCUUCAUUUCAAUACUUUGUUUACAAUACUCUUGCUAUGAUAAGAAUAUGAGUGAAAAACAGAGAAAGAAAAUAGUGUGCUUUUCUAUUCGAAAUUAUGAAUAAGAUUUCUAUGAUUUAGAUGUUGUGUUGGUUGACUAAAUCGUGAUACAUCGACAGAGGCAGAGCCCCUCAUGCGCCAAGGUGGGUCAUGGCCCACCCCCAAAUUUUGUUUCUUAUUAUAUAUAUAUUAUGUUUUGUAAAUUUUUGAUGUUUUUGUAGCAUGUUGUAGUGGUUAAGAGCCUUUUUGCCAAGUCGUAUGUGCUAGGUUCAACUCUUGCCAAAACCAUUUUUAUUUAUUCUUUUAUUUUCUUUUGUAUAAAAAAAAAACAUAAUUCAUAAUUGUUAAAAUAAUCCUUUUUUUUGUUACUUAAUCCUUUCUUUCUUUAAUAAAACAUAACUCCUUUAUUCGAUUUAAAAUAAUCUUUCCUUUCCUUACUCUUAUUUUUGGAUACAAUUGUCUCUUUACUCUUUUAUUUUAAUUUUUUUUUUAUACAAAGGGGACUUCAACUCUUUUUUGUCAAAAAACAUUCUCUUUUAAAACAUAUAACAUAUUUUUUAUACUUAGUCGUUUGAUUCAAUUCGAUUUUAUACCUAUACAUCUGUUUAUUGAAGUCGAGUCAUUUAAUUCAGUCGUUAGGUUCAAUGGCCUAGUUGUUCGAUCAAUUAUCUUGAACUUUAUCAAGGUUGAUAAACAGUUCAUAUUUUAAAAUACCGGUUUAAAUUAUAUUCAACAAAUAACAAAUUUAUAGUCAUUGGAACCAACCAAUAAUAAAAUGUACUUGUAAGAAAAUAAAGCCUCAUCACUAUUUAUGGCCCACCCUAUACUUUUUUCCUAGCUCCGCCACUUUACAUCUUCGUAUUCUUUAGGAAGUUUCAACCUUGUUGACUAUGACAACAGUGACGACUAUAACGAGACUCGCUAUUGACUAUGACAACAGUGACGACUAUAACGAGACUCCCUACUUUUUGGUUUGCUUCAACAGGUUCUCAACAUAAAUAACUAACCAAGUUAAUUUGCCUGUGAAAUGUGAUAUUAGUAAGGUGCAUGAAGGUUAAGUUCUUUAGCAAAGCUUAGUAUCUUGAAUUAAAGAAUAUCGUUAAUUAAACUAAAUAUUCAUAUUAGGUAUCACAAUUUUCAAGACUUUAUAUGUACGUGUUGAUCCAUUAAUUAAGAGAAAUUAGACUUUAGACCCGUGCGUCGCACGGGUCAUUUCGACUAAUAUAUAAUAAUAAGUAAUGGUAAAAAAAAUUCUAAAAUAAAUAAAAGAUGAAGAGUAUUAUACAUUUUACUUACUCAAGUUCAAAAAAUAAAGUAGGAGAUGACAUGAAAUCGUUUAGUUGAAACAAACGAAUAUUAAAAAAUAAAAAUUAGACAACGACAGGGAUCUAAAAUUCUAUUUCUAAUCCUUCACAUAUCAAAAUUACAAUUGGUUCUCUUCAUUGUAAUCAUCUAAACUUAAUUAAAAAAUUUACAAGUGCAAAUAGAAUCGACAUUAUACAAGUCACUACUUGAUUCCAAAAACCUAUGUUUCAUGAAAACCACUCAUACCUAAAUAACAAUAAUAAACCUUCAAAACAAAAAUCAACUAUUCUCAAAGGACCCAAAAGAAAGAUUUUUAGCCUUCUAAAUCACAAUUUCUCUUGUUGUAUUGUUUUUGUGUCAAAAGCACCAUAAGUUGAAUAGUAGGCUCAGACACAUGACUUUCCUCAUAAGACAAAAUCACCAGUUUUUUAUAGGUUGAAAAAAUAAAUCAAAUAUCCUUAACUUUCAAUAACGCUUAGAAACAACUGAAACUUUUGCAUUAUCUCAAUCCACAAACAAAAUUGAAGACCUUUAUAUUUGCUUUAGGCACCUUAAGGAAUUCUAUGUAAAUUGUUUUCCUGCAAUGAAAUGCUAAACACAAUGAGCAAAGAAGAAGAAUUAACAACAAUAUUUGGAUUGUUUUAUUUAGCUUACAAUUCUUUAAACUAAUCAANAACACAAUGAGCAAAGAAGAAGAAUUAACAACAAUAUUUGGAUUGUUUUAUUUAGCUUACAAUUCUUUAAACUAAUCAACAAAAAAUUAAAUUUGCAUUAUAUCCUCCACAAUAUCAAGAAUUUUUCAAAGGGAUCAUUCUAUUUGUAUGGCUAUGAUGAGAACUCAUGUGUGUCCAUGAAGACCAGCUCUACGGAUAACCAUGUUCAUAUUAACUAUUUUAGGAGUGAAAAUAGGAUUGGAUUGGAUUUAGUAGUGAGCUGUUGUUUUUGAUUUCAGAAGCAUUUGAAAAUAACAUUUUGAUUAAAUGGAAAUAAUAGGAAGAAUUUGUUAAUAAAAGUGAUUUUUUUUUUUUUUUUUAUGUUGAUCUUUUUAUUGUUGUGUUAGAAACAAAAUAGGACGAAAUUGUAUUUUUUUUUUUAUGUUUAUCUUUUUAUUGUUGUGUUGGAAACAAAAUAGGAGGAAAUUGUUAUAGGAAUAGGAGGAACGAUUUUUAAAGUUUAUCUCUUAAUUAAACAGGUUUAAUUGAACACGGGGGUAAUAACGUAAAAGUCAUCAUAAAAUCUAGGUUAAAAUUAGGUUAAAAAUUGGCUUACGGGUUAACUUUUAUAUAUAAAGAAGUCAAGAGAAUCUAGAUCUGUGAAGCCCCGAUACUUCAAAAUGGAUGAUGUAUCGUAUCCGCUGCGUAUUCUGUAUCGAUACCUGCCCGAUACUUCUCAAAUUUAUGAGUUUUAUUUGAUUCUUCGAAUUCGAAUUUUGAGAAUUUUAGGGUUUGAAGGUUGGUGAUGGAGGUGAAUCUGAGUUUAUAUUAAGAAUUGAUGAAGAAUUUAAGGAGAGUGCAGUGAUGGAUAGGUAACUGAGUAUGAAUUGGUAUGCAGUUUGGAAAAACAAAACAAGAGGCAGUAGCAGCACCCCCACCCUUCCUCUACUUCUUCGACAAUAUGAGUGUUAGAUUCAUUUUCCUAGGUGUGAUUUUGAGGCAGAUGAAUAUGUGUGAGAGAUUGUAGAGGAAGAUCUCAGAUAUAGCUUUUAGGGAUGAACAUGAAUGAAUGAAUUUGUAGAUGAAGAUGAAUGUUGUUUGAACAUUUAAUUAAGAAAUUUUUAAUUGUUUUUUGUUUUAAUAUUUGAAAUUAUUAAAUUGUAUUUUGAAAUUCAAAAAACCUGUUUUAAUGACAUGUAAAUGACAUUUUCCAAAUUGGCAAUGCCACAUAGGCAAAAUUUUACCACCUGUGCAUUUUUGGAUGUGAAAAUAGGGGGUAAGACUAAAACUGCAACAAAAAUGAUAAUUGAAAAACAAUUUUAAUCUGUUUUAAAAGGGCAGGACCAAUUUCCUGAGUAGGCCACAACACGAGGACCAAAAGUGUAAUUAAGCCUUAUAUUUAUGUUGAUGUGCUACAAGCUUAUGACUGGUUUCUUUUGUUUGAUAAUAUAUUUGCAUAUUAAAUAAAAUGGUUAUAAUUAUAUUCUACAUUUAAUUAUAUAAUUUUUUUAUUGACGUAUCCCAACCAUAUCGUAUCUUGAUUUUUGAAAUUUUUUCGUAUUGACGUAUCGGUGCAGUAUCGUAUCUCGUAUUCGGGCUUCAUAGAUCUAGACUAUUAAUUUUUUUGAUAAACAAGAUUAUUAUUAUUUUUUGACAAAAACAAAGUGAGAUUCAUUCAUUCAAAUUGAUAGAGUACAUCAGAUACAAACAUUGCUAAAAACGUAAAGGAUAAAUCUAUGAACAAACUCACAACACUAAAGUUCAUACAACAGCAAAAUGUCUACAAAUAAUAUGAUAAAAUCUAAGUCACCAAAAUAUUCAUGCUUCCGGGUAUGCAACGUUGGCGCCCAAAUCAUUGAUUGAAUUUGUAAUUGACUAAUGUCGAUCUUUCAACAUGAACUAAACGAACACCGCGUCAAGACGCGAAAUCAAACAUCACAUAAGACCACUAACAACACAAUGCCACAAUUAGAUGACGAAAUCACAAAAACUCAAAAGGGAAAACUUGAUAUAUGUGAAAACCAUUUGUUUAGAUCGAAAGAAAAGAGAAAAAACGAUGUAGAGGGGUGAUUUUAGGUCAAAAAUGACCUAAAACCAGUUCUUUUUAAUAAACGAAGGAGAAAGAAUGUUUAGAGAGAAGUUGGAGUUUUUUUUUACUUAAAAAAUUAGGAUAAGCAAAAUUAUUAUAGAGGGAUAAAGGGCUCCCCAACCCAUAUACAAAAUGAUGGUUGCAAUGCCAUGUAGAAAAUAAAAAGAUAACAUUGCCUUUCUUUUUACAAUUAAACUAGUUACAAACCCGUGCGUUGCACGGGUUUAAUAACGUAUUUUAUAAAAAAAAAAUCUUUUAAAAGAAAAAUGAGCAAAUUAAUGAAUAUUGCACAAACAUUAUAAAUCUUUAUCAAAAUAUUUAUGAAAGCUUUAUCAAGUCUUUAAUACACAUUAAUAUUUGUGAUGAUUGAUAAAAGAAUUAAAAAGAGUAAAGGGUAUAGAAAUAAAUUUAUUAAAGAAUUAACAAUUUGUUUAAACUUAUUUUUGUUACAAUUUAGACCAAAAAAAAUAUUGGACUUCAUUGAGUUUCUCUAUAAUUUUUUUAUCAGGCUUGAAGUUAUGACUCUGAGUUUGAAAACCGCAAAAUUCACAAAAAUUAUUGAAGAAACACUAUAAACAAAUAAACGGCAUCGUCAAAAAUGAAAUCAUAUUUGGCUAUAGUGAUCAAGCAAACAAAAAAAAAGAAGCAUAUUAAAUACCUAUAAUCAAUGGAUUCUAAUUGCAUAGAGGCGACACUUAUACUUUCUCUAUGUUUGUUCAUCAAUGAGAGUGAUUAUUUUGCGCUUUCCUUUCAGAAUUGUUCUUGACACCUAGUUUGGGAAAUGCUAAACAGGGAAAUAACUGUAAUAUUAAUCUAAUGCAUAUUAACAUGGAUAAGAUGUAUGCGAAUAUAGUUAUAUAUAACUUAUGAAAUGAAGGUAACAUAACUGAUUUUAAGCUAAAGAAAAUGUACCAUGACUUCUAAUUUAUCUUUCUAUUAUCUUCCUAUAAAGUCUAGAGAAAUGCAUGCAUGUGCAUUAUAUGUACCCCGUUGACCAAUUAACAUUUUUGAAACAAAUGAAAAUUAAGCAUCACUCCCGCAUGUGCAUCUAUAGCUAACACCAUUUGACAUUGAUGUCUUCGAACAUUUGGUGCAACUCUCAUAAUACCAUCCAAACUGGUUAGGAUUGAAUUUAGUUGUUUUUCCAAAUAGUGAUGGAGUAUGUAUCCUAACACAAAUUAUGCACGUGAAAUAAAGAAUAGUGCAAUAUGCAUUUUUAAUUUGUGCGUAAAAAAAUUCAAAGCAUGUUUGUGAAAAAAAAAAAAAAAAACAGACCUUGACUAAGUUUAUAGAUUCAUCAAUUGGCCUAACUUGAGACAGAUUGGAAAAAUCGUUCUACGAAGUACUUUUUAAACUUUACUUUUUAAUCUAUCUGAGCUUGAGAAGUGUUAAGUUCACGACAACAAUUCAAGAAACAUGGUCAAUAAACAAUCAAAUCAGAUUGUGAAAUAAUAAGUUACUCUAACACUGUAUUGUGAAAUCAUAAUGCAAACUUACUAAGUCUUAAACUUUUCAACAACCGGAUGAUGUAGGUUGAUGAGCAGCCUCGAACCUGACCAAUUGUUACAUCUAUUUGCGUUGUCAUUGACUACAAAAUAGAAGCAAAGAAUUCAAGGUAAAUAAAUGGUAAAUGAUAAAGCUACAAAGUAUUUUACCCAUAAUGUUACAUCAACUAUAUUCCCAAUGCUCUAAAUCUCUAUAUCGAGUUAUUACAUGAACUCGAUCACCCUAAAUCCGAGAAAGAAACCAAAAAAUAUAAAUAAAUCAAAAUGUAUACUAAUAAGUAACAUUGAUAAAUCAUAAAAGAAAUUACUACAAAUCUUAACUAACUUAUCUAACCUUUGCAUCACAAAUAAUGAGCUUCAUAUGUUGAUUCUCAUUACUACCAGUCACAAUUCAAGAAUCCAGUACUCCAAAUCCUAUUUUCCAAACGUCUAAAUCAUUUUUGAGAUACUUAAUGUAGUCAUAAUCCCUUGACAUUGAAAUUCAUAUAUAGAAAUACAAUAAUACAUCAUUUAAUUUUAUUCCCUUUGUUCAUUCUGAUAUCGAAAGAAGCUAACAUAUUUCUAUGUGAUCAAUUUUUGUAUCAUCAAAUUAACCUGAUCUUAAAUGUACAAAUUUCUAUCAUCAACUUUCUGGACCCCAAUGAUAUGAUCAAAACAAAUUUACACCAAUCAACUUUUUGCACGGCUCAAUGAUAUACGAAAGAAUAAAUAAAAUAUGAAAACUGUUACAGCUUUAGGAUUACUCACAAAAACUAAAAUAAUUGAAAUGCAUCAAUUAUUUUCAACUCCUGUACCAGAAGCUAAAAUAACAAUUGUGUCAAAACCUUACCAUCAGUUAAAAUUCAGUCAUCAUGACCUCUACUAUACUCCACAUAACAAAAGACGAUUUUUCUACAGCCAUGCAACAUAACAAAUUUUGGUACAUAAUCCAAUAACAAUUGGAAAAAAAAAAAAAAAACCCUUAAAAUGCAUAAUCAUGAAAAAAGGAAGAAAACCAUCUAUGAUGAAGCAAAAACUAAAACGGUGUCGAAAAAUGAAGCCCUUAAGCCAUAAAAAUCAGUCAACUCAAGUCAUGCAUGGUCUCAGAACCAUGAAAAAAGAUAGAAAAUGACCUUUUUUUUUUUUGUGGUGGCCGGGGUUUGAACUCCGGACCUUGCAUAUUUUAUGCAUUGUCCUACCAACUAAGCUAAGCUCACGAGGACGAAGAAAAUGACCUCUUAUGAAGAAGAAAGUGAAACAGUGUUCCCGACUGAACUUAGAUACCGUUUGGUCAAGGUUUUUUACAUUAUAAAAGUUACUUCAAAACAAAGUAAAAAUAAAGGCCUUUAUGAAAGAAACUAAAGUUAUUUGGUUUUUUUGUUUUGUUAGUUUUAAAGCUAUUUAAGUUUAAUGUUGUUUGGCAAAAUAUUGUACAAACUUUGAAUUUAUUAUUUUUUAUAUGGUGUCUGGGGUUCGAACUCCGGACUUGGCAUGUAUUUAUGCAUUGUUCCUAUCAACUGAGCUAAACUCAUGAGGACAAAACUUUGAAUUUAUUAUUAAUUAACAUAAUAAAUAAAUAAAAUGUUUAGAAUAAUUUAUGAAGGCUAAAAAUGUUAAAAAAAUAAAAGAUAUUUUUUUUACAAAUACGAUAUUUACUCAAUAACGUUUAUUUUGUGUAACAUGAAUACAAAUUAAUAUCAUCAUAUAAAUAACUUGUUAAAUAUUUGAAUAGGAGAAACAAUUUAAGGAGUCUGGAAUAAUAAUAUAAAUAAUAUCAAAAUAUUUGAUUUUUUCUAUUUCAAUUAUACUCUAUAACAAAUUUCGUUAUAAGAAUACCAUAUUUUUUGUGUCUUUCAAAAAGAUAAGAAUUUAUAUUAUAUGAUAUUAUAUUUGUUACAUUGUUGGUGUCAUGGAAACAGAUAUGUUUAAUUUUUUUGAACAUGAAAAUGAUAUGCAUAGUUUGUUACGAUAUAAAGGUGCAAUAUAUAUAUAUAUAUACACCUUUUUAGGCAUCUAUACCUUUUUUUGAAGAAAAGACAUCUACAAUUUUACUUUUAAUUAAAAUUUAAAUUUUAUAAAAAUAAUCAUACGCAUUAUGCAACGCUAAAAAAAAUUAUACACAUUAGCGUAACAAAAAAACAGACACACAUAAAGAAUUACUCUAAACGCUAAUGUGUAUGUGCGUAUAUAUUUGCGAGGUUGAAGAAAGAAAAUACAAAUAUUUGAUAUCAUUAAAUGACAGCGUGAAUAAAAAUAUUUGUGAAGUUGUGAUGAUUAAACGAUAUUGAAAUUAUAAGUGAUAAAAAGAUAAUAAAAUUCCUUUGAAAAAAAGGUAAUAAAAUUAAAUGGAACCUCCUUAAAAAAAAUUAAAUUGAACGCUUCAAAUUAAAUGGAAGAAAAAAAUAUAUUGAAGUAUAAUAUUAAAAAAUAAAAAAAAAGGUUCCCAACGUGAAUUGAAGAGAGAUGCUUGUGAAAUAAAUUGUCGAGAAGUAGUUUUUUGAAGAAGCAUUCAACAACUUUUGGUCAAAGUUCAUUGCAUUCAAUUUUAUGCAUUAAAAAAGGUACAUUUUUUAGAAAGUACUUAAUUGAUAUUGUAUUUGACCUAACUUCUCCUUAAAAAUAUAGGGAAGUUGAAAAAAAAAACCGGGUCAAACGGUAUCUUAAUUUCCCACAACGGCAGUGUAGAAACAACUGAAUUUGGGAGAAAAAAAUUGGAAAAUAGUUAAAAAUAAAAAAAAUUGAAAAAUAGUUAAAAAAAAUCGGUGAGGUAGCACCUAACCAAACAACACUAAAAAAAAUUAUAUGCAUCAGCGUAACAAAAAAACAGACAGACGGACAUAAAAUAUUACUCUAAACGUUAAUGUGUGUGUAUAUAUUCGCGAGGUUGAAGAAAGGAAAUAAAAAUAUUUGGUAUCAUUAAAUGACAGCGUGAAUAAAAAUAUUUGUGAGGUUGUGAUGAUUAAACAAUAUUGAAAUUAAAAUAAUUAAUAUUGUGUUUGACCCAACUUCUCCUUAAAAAUUUAGAGAAGUUGGAAAAAAGUCGGGUCAAGCGAUACCUUAAUCUCCCACAACGGUAAUGUAGAAGCCACUGAAUUUGGGAGAAAAAAUUGGAAAAUAGUUAAAACUAAAAAAUAAAAAAAUCGGUGAGGUAGCACCCAACCAAGCAACACCAAAAAAAAAUUAUAUGCAUUAUCGUAACAAAAAAAUAGACAAACAGACAUAUAAUAUUACUCGAAACAUUAAUGUGUGUGUAUAUUCGCGAGGUUGAAGAAAGGAAAUAAAAAUAUUUGAUAUCAUUAAAUGACAACGUGAAUAAAUAUAUCUGUGAGGUUGUGAUGAUUAAAUAAUAUUUAAAUUAAAAUAAUUGAUAUUGUGUUUGACCUAACUUCUCCUUAAAAAUGUAGAGAAUUUGGAAAAAAGCCGGGUCAAACGAUACCUUAGUCUCCCACAACGGCAAUGUAGAAGCAACUGAAUUUGGGAGAAAAAAUUGAAAAAUAGUUAAAAACAUAAAAAUUGGAAAAUAGUUAAAAGUUAUUAAAAAUUAGAAAAUAAUUUAAAAAAUUGGUGAGGGGCAAAAUGGGAAAUUUGGCAUAAAAAAGAUGAGGUGGCACCAAACCAAACCCACCAAUUAGAAAAUUACUUAAAUGCCCAUUCCAGGGACAAAAUGGGAAUUUCAUAUGGCAUCAAUUUUAAUAGAGUAUAUAGACCACUCACAUUACACAAAUGUUGAAAUAUAUGAUGCAUAUUACUUUUUAAAUUUUUGGUUUAUAGUUGCAUUUUUUUUAGGGUUAAUAGUGUUUUUCACCCUUGUAAUAUAUGUCAUUUUCGGUUUUCGACCCUAUAAAAUUUUUAGUUUUAUUUUAACCCUCGUAAAAUUUUUAUUUUCCGGAAAAGACCCUUAAUAGGCCAUUCAAAAACCAAAAUUUCUUGAAAAAAAUUCUGAAAAUGGCCUAUUAGGGGUCUUUUCCGGAAAAUAAAAAUUAUACGAGGGACCACCUGUUGAGAAACCACCUGUACACAAGCCACCAGUUGAGAAGCUACCUGUUUACAAGCCACCUGUAGAGAAACCUCCGGUGUACAAGCCACCUGUUGAGAAGCCCCCAGUUUACAAACCUCCAGUAGAGAAGCCUCUAGUGCACAAGCCACCAGUUGAUAAACCACCUGUACACAAGCCACCAGUUGAGAAGCUACCUGUUUACAAGCCACCUGUAGAGAAACCUCCGGUGUACAAGCCACCAGUUGAGAAGCCCCCAGUUCACAAACCUCCAGUAGAGAAGCCUCCAGUUCACAAACCUCAAGUGGAGAAGCCACCUGUAUACAAGCCACCAGUUGAGAAGUUUCCAAUUUACAAACCUCUAGUAGAGAAGCCUCCAGUGCACAAGCCACGAGUUGAGAAACCACCUGUACACAAGCCACCAGUUGAGAAGCUACCUUUUUACAAGCCACCUGCAAAGAAACCUCCGGUGUACAAGCCACCAGUUGAGAAGUCCCCAGUUUACAAACCUCCGUUAGAGAAGCCUCCAGUGCACAAGCCACCGGUUGAGAAACCACCUGUAUACAAGCCACCAAUUGAGAAGCCCCCAGUUCACAAGC
Molecule: long non-coding RNA, 48147 nt
Filed under: Medicago truncatula (barrel medic)
Lineage: Eukaryota; Viridiplantae; Streptophyta; Magnoliopsida; Fabales; Fabaceae
Description: long non-coding RNA (MTRU_LNC001595)
Source: RNAcentral